Molecule: long non-coding RNA, 60622 nt
Filed under: Olea europaea (common olive)
Lineage: Eukaryota; Viridiplantae; Streptophyta; Magnoliopsida; Lamiales; Oleaceae
Description: long non-coding RNA (OEUR_LNC003436)
Source: RNAcentral
UCUGAACAAAGCAGUUUUAUUGGCUCAAGUGAACGUGCUGAUUCAUGCGGGUCAUGUUCGAAUUCCUCAAUACAUGGGCAUUUGACAUCUGAUUGCAGUACAUUUAGUCUUUCCACAUAUUGUCCAACUUCUGGAGACGUUGCAGGUGAACUUUCCAACUCUGGAUGUAGUUCAGCAGUAGCAUCAAACUUGUUGGCAGAUGAAGAAAAAGCAUGUUCUUCUACAUAUCUGCUUUCUGCCUCAUCUGACCCUUCAGAUCGAGUAUCAUCGUAUCUAUCAGACUGCGCAUAAAAAAAUUUCUUCAUUGCAGUAGGUGGGCAAUAGCAGAUUAGUGAUUCGAAAUUAAAUAUAACUCCCGUUUGGUACCCAUUUUUUUCAAAAUGCAUUUUUCUCUCUCUUCUUUUUAACCACACAUUCUUCAUUAAAAUAAUAUUACACGUAAAUCAAAAACUUUUCUUUAUUUUUCAACCACACAUUUCCCAUCAAUUUACUAUUCUAAAAUGCAUUUUUACAUAAAAGUAACUCCCCAAACACCCUCAUCAUAUAAGCAAAGAUAAUUUUUUUUAUUUUUUUUUUCCCUCUUUGUUCUUCAAAUUGCAUUGGCCUGCUUGAGCAAGGAUAAAAUUGGAAAAUAAAGUAGUUAAGGCCUCAACUAAAACACUGAUCAUCAAAGUCAAGCAAGCCAAAUUUUGUGAAACAGAUGAAGUAGCCAGUUGCUGACAGGUGAUAGCAGUAACUAUCAACUAAUUCUCGAGGGCAAAGUUGAUAAGUGAAAUAUCUGCAAACCUGUUUCAAUUCUGUUCUGGAACCUUUAUGCACACUGUAACUGGAUGAACUUGAAAGGCUGCAUUGUGAUGAUUCCAAGCUUCUUCGAAUGCCUCCGACCAUAUCAGUGGGCAUGUCUACCGUGUAAACAACCACAUCAAAGUCCGGAACCUAACAAGAAUAUAUAUUUGAUGAAUUUUUGUGCAUGCCUAGAAGGUUUUAAACAAAUUUUGCAAAAAUAUAGGAAACUGCUGAAAACACUGGCAACAAUAACCAGGAAGUGGAUCUGGUAUUAAUAAAAACAUCUUACACUUAGUUGCUUAGAACUGGCUUUCCUUGAGAGUGCUCUUAUGCAAAUGCAAACUUUUCGAAUGUCUCGUUUCUCAACAACAUCUGAUGGUGAAAAGAGAUCAAUGCCAUUCAAUCCUAAAAUUUUGCACAUCUACCAAAAAAGGGUGAAUUAAGAAUAUUAGCAAUCAUUUUUUAAACAUUCUGCUUAAACAGGAUAUCAUUGUCGGCACAGACUACCUGCUGCUCCUUGUAAUUUUAAAUACUAAUAAAGUCCUUUCACAAGCUCAACAAAAUACAUUCAAACACUUUGAUAUGGACGUUUGUGCAAAUUAUAUUCACUUCAGAACCCCAUGCUCUUUACUCAUUCCUUUCUCAAUCAUACCUAUCAUUGAUGACUGUCACGAGGUGACCGUAACUUGGCUUGUUACACACAACAGAUGUAGGAGAGCAGUUCAAUAAUAACAUUGUUACAUUCCUAUUAGAGAGGGAUUCAAGAUUUAAUAAGUUCACAACAUAGAACUAUCUUCUGAAAAUGGCACUCUUCAAUGCUUCGUUAUGCAUUUGGUUCAACAGAAAGAACAUGCUGUAAUGUGUACUCAGUAGUGGACACCAUACAAGAAGAACUCUUCUUAUGGAACUUCUUGUCUGAAUCUGUGAUUUUCUUCUUUAAAUCUUGAAAUGUGUAUAGGAGAUUUCACCUGUAUCUAUAAUUGAGUUGACAAGUUUUUUUAAUACUUGGUACAGAGAUGAACCCUAAGGAUGCUACGGCCACAAGUUACUCAUGUGUCUGUGAAGUGGAAAUAAUAUAUGAGUAUUAUCUUUUUCUCCAAGGAUUACAAAAUCCCUGAAGUUCAAGACAAUGAAUGGUUCAAUAAAUUGCUCUAAAAUGAUACUGAAAAACUCAAAAGGCAACUAUAAAUACUUUAAUAGCUUUAGCUCCAAUUAGCAAUUGUCAAUUGAAAAAUAUUUACAAGUAAAUUAUGCAGAGAUGGGGGCAAGGUUAUGAUGUGUUACCUUUAGAAAUAUAUCAACAUUGGAGUAAGGUCUGUAUCUCCCUCUGAUCUUCUUAGAGCCAAAGGGGCCAUGUUUAUGUUUGAAAUGUCUAAACUCCACACAUUUUGCCAACAGCAAAUUCCAUACCACUUUAGAAACUUCAAACCUAAAAAAUCAGACAAGUCAAAAUCAUUGAACACAAUGGAAAAUUGUCUUGUAAAACAACUGACAACUUAACAUUUUCUCAUGCUUUAUAAUGUGCUAUGUACAGCUCGAGAUGAUUUCCUUUUCUCUCCACCAAUCAGCGCAAAAGACAAACCAUUUUCAUUACACUUGUGAAUAAUGGCAUUGCUAAAAUUACACACAUAAUUAGCUAGCUGGAUUUAAAAAUAUGAAUGAGUUCCUAAGAAUUUUUCCAAAAAACUGCCUCAACAAUGUUCACUUAUAGAUUCAAACUGUUUCACAAGGCAGUUCUGAAGGAAAAGAACUCCCAAACCACUAAAUAUCCAUUCUUCCCCAAUUUGCAAUAAUUAGUUGAAAUUAUAACAUACAGCAUUAUCAUUACUCAUUCAUCCCUUGUAUUUGGAUUUUCUUGCAGUGUUAAUAUUAUCCAUAUCAAGAAUAUUUAUUACAUACUGAUGGUUAAUUAAAUGCUGCAUGUUUCUUGUUUCUUCAAAAUUUCUUCACCUGUUCAGCAAGAAAAACGAUAUAAAGAUUUUUAUUUGUAUUCAAUAUAGUAAAAAUCUUGGGAGCCAAUACUUCAUUAUGGCACUAUAACAUUUUCCUGAUAUUGGUAUUUCAUUCUUGAAAAAAGACUGAAGAACUAUAAUGGAACCCACAAACAGGUGCACCACCAAUAAAUACUGGCAAGCUGUUUCCCGUGCCAGGUGAUUAAAUUUCUAGGGAAGCAAAGCAUGUUCUUCAUUGAAAUGAGUUUUUCCUUUCAUUUUCGUAUGGAAACUGAUAAAUUAAACAUUAAUUUAUACUCAGAAAAAAAUGAAGGGAAAACCUGCAGUAAUUAGAUUGUUGACAAAUGAAAAUAGAAAAUGUUAAUAAAAUUCAAGAACUCACAGUAGCUCUCCAUCUUGAAGCAAAUCAGAAAUAUGCAAAUCCUCAUCCAAUCUUGUAUCAAGAACUUCUCCAAGCCAUAUUCUUGUUUGAGUCUGAACCAAUUGAAUACAAAUAAUGAUAUUCUAAUAAUCAAAAUUGCAGAUCAAGAUAAAAAUCAACUGUGGGAGCUUACAUGUUACUCUUACAUCUUGAAUUCAUAAGUGUUUCUAUACACGAAUAACAAGAAGUGAAGUUUGUUCCAAAUAAACUAUGGAUGAACUAAAUUAAUCCUUUUCACCACUCCCUUUGAUGUAAUGUUACAUCUAUUAAAGGUCAAAUCCAAUCUUUUAGCAACCAUAUUACCUCAACCUCUUCUAACAUAUUCUACUGAGACUGCUAGCUUCUUUAGGUUUAUGUGAGGCAUGUCCCGACUAUUAAGUUGUUCUGUCCUCCAUUUGUUGACCUGCAUACUCAUUUCUUAUUCUAUCACACUAUCCCAAAAUCUAAUUAUGCUACAUCCAUCUUUAUGAUCUUGUGAACAUUACGCCCCAUUAACAAACCAAUACUAAGUACUAUAAUCCAUAACUGGUCUUGCAAUCAACUAAAUGUCCACAGAACUUGGUUGUUAACUAGGUAUCUCUCUUCCAAUUAACUAGAUGUAGCACUUUCUUUUUUAUUUUGUCCAACUCACUCGAAUUUUAUUCAGUACAUUCUCUAGAAAUGUUAUUGUGAUUGAACUACACAGAAUAAUCUUCUACUGCAACUAUACCAUCCUUGUAAUUCCUACUACGAGGAAAUUUAAUCGAUUCAUCUUAGUAGUUAGCCUAACACACACACACACACACAUAUACAUUAGAUGUCUAAAAUUACUCAAACUUUCCAAUUCUCGAUUUAUUCUCCUCCCAACAUCACCACUUAAAACUAUAGCAUCAUCAAAUAACAUACAACAGAUCAUCUCCUAAGCUCAAUUAUGAUCAACAGAACGUGAUGGACUCAGAGUCAAAGAAACUUGCCUACUAGUGCCCCCACUAGAUUCAAACUGUCAACUGUUCCGCCAUCCUAAAGCAAAUGCUUUUACAAUAUAUCUCCCAGCCAUAAAACCAAAUGAUUUCUCUAAAACCUCUAAAUGACAUAUUAAGCUACAAUCAAUCAACCUCUCCGGUGAAUAUUAUAAACAAAAAUACAAAAUCAAAAGGGACCUGCAAGAAAACAUCAUCAAGCUCCCGGAAGCUGGAUUCGCCAGAAGACGGAGAAGAAUCGGCGCUUACAGCGGCCACUGCCCGCCUGCCCAUUUUCAUAUAUCCCGCCUAAAACGCAUCUCCCAUCCAAACAACCAAGAAUACAGUAGCACUUGAAUGAGUGAAUGAGAAUGAAAAUACAGUGACAGUAUUAAAUCUUGAUUUAUAAUACUGUAAUAGUGGCAAUGAGGUAUGAAGAGUGGCAGCCUUCUGGGAUUUCCGUUUGUGUGUAUGAAAUUCGUCACUAUUUUCCUGUGGUCGCAAUUUUGCUGGACUUUUUUCAAAUUCGUCACUAAUCUUUCUGGAAAGUUGGUGCCAAAUGAGGCAAACGGCGGAAAUAUGGCGAAAAACCUUUUUGUUCUUUUAUAGUCCUUUUCUCGUGGACCCCACUUUCAAUGCCUAUUUCUAAUUUUUUAUUUUUUAAUACCUUUUCUUUGACUUUUUUUUUCCUUAAAGCCCAAUAUUUUAUUUAAGAUUAUUGCCCACAUUCUAGGCCAAAAAAUACAUUAUUUAUGUCAAAUCAAUGAAAAAUAUAUUGUUUAAAAAUAAGAAAAUGUUUUAGAUUUAUGUAUAUAUUAUUUUAAUGAAAAAUGUAUGAUUAAAAUGAUGUUAAAUCACUGUGAAAAAAUAUAUCUUUUGGAAAAUAAUAUGGCUCAAACAAGCCAAUUAUCGACUACAAAUUUUAGUACUAUAAUAGCCUACAUUACUAUAAGCCCCCGUUUGACACCCUUUAAAAUUCUUCGAUUUUAAUUUAAAUUCUUCUCUCUCUUAUUUUAAACCACAUAAUCUUUAAUAAAAUAAUAUUAUACACAAAUCGAAAACUUUUCAUCCUUUUACAGCCAUUCAUUUAAAAAAAAAACAUUAUUCCCCCUUAUGAACUCAAAUAAUGGGAGCCAAACGAGGGCUAAAAGUUAAACUUUAACGUCUAAAUUUAAUCCAUGUUUGGUCCUUAUUUUUAAAUUUUUUAAAAUUCAAAUUUAACCAUAAAUUCACAAGUUUUAGGCUUUUAGCCCUUGUUUAAGUCCCAUUUAGGGGGAUAAAAUAUAAAUUUGAAUAAUGUAUUGAUGGAAAAUGUGUUAUUAAAAAAAAGAAAAUAUUUUGAAUUUACGUGUAAUAUUAUUUUAUUGAAGAAAUAUGGUAAAAAUGAUGUCAAAAUAUUGUAGAAUGAUGCAUUUUUCUAAAGAAUGGACCUCAAACAAGGCGCCAGGGCAAUCACAUAUUUUAUCAUUUUUUAAAAUUUAUUAAAAUUUUGAUUUUUAUCAAACAAAAAAUGGGCUUAUGGUAUUUCGAGUACAAUCUUUUUACGUGCCGAGUUAUAGAUGGUGAACCGAAUGUUUGAAACAUUUUAUUUAAAAAUUAUAUUUUCUUAAAUUCAUUUUUACAUACAAUAAUAUUAUUCUUAAGUAAUCUUCGAAGAUUAUUAAGCUCAUGUUUGAUGAUUAUCAUUGAGAAAAAAUGAUAUUUUUAAUAGUAAUUUUUUUUUUUGAAAAAUAUUUGGUUAGAAAAUAGGAAGAAUUUUGAAUUUAUAUGCAAAAUAUUUUAUUACGUGAAUAUGUAGUUAAAAAUAAGUAUGAAAAUUAAAAAGUUUAGUUUUAUAUGGGGGCAAAGUAGGGCUAAAUUUGAGAAUUUAUUUAUUUUAUUGGGUUGUGUGAAUUGAAAAUAACGUUGGAUCAUGUAUAAAUGUGGAAACUUAUUGUGUGUACAGAAACUACACACAUAGUAGUCAUACAGAACAAACACGACAAGGUUGGGUGAGGGAAUUUUUUGGCAUAUUUUAUCACAACAUGAGUCUCACACAUAUAAAAUUUUUGACAGAAUUUUAUGAAAUAAUUUUCUGUACAAAUGGAAUUAUUCGUAAGUGUAAGCCACAAGCAUCUAUUGCACACAAUUGUUACGCCACUCGCAAUAGACACGUAUUAGAACUCUGUGCCUAUUAUAAUAGGCUAUGUCAUUGUUAAUUGAAGACCUAAAUUAAGUUCUAUUUGAGCCACAUUAUUUAAAAAAAAAAUUGUAUUUUUCAACAGUGAUUUGACAUUAUUUCGACCACAUAUUCUUCAAUAAAAUAACAUCAAACUUAAAUUCAAAUUUUUUUUAUUUUUUUAAUCACAUAUUUUUUAUCAAUACACUAUUCAAAAAUACAUUUUCAUUUCAAUAAUGUGGCUCAAACAAUGGCUAAAUUAAUCAAAUUCAAAUUUCAUACUCGAAAAUUUUUAAAAACAUGAAUCCAAAUGUAUGAUUUAUUAGCCCUCACUUCUAAUGGACAAGUAUAAGGAUGUCAAUUGGGCUCGUCGACUCAGGUCGUCGUGGCUCCCUCCGAAAAAAGCUCGAGCAGGCUCGACUCAAGGUUUGGGCUGAGGCCCAUUUUGAGGUUCCGAGCUUAGCCUGAGUCGGCCCGUGUGGCUCGCCCAAAAAAAAAAAAAAGGUUUAAUAAGUGCCAAUAAAAAAUAAAAAGAGAGGGGGGGNNNNNNNNNNNNNGUCGAGUCGGCCCUGUGCGGGUCGAGCCUCUUUUUUUUGACGAGCUUUUGUUCGGCUCAGCUCGAGCCCGAAAAAAGCCCGCUUGAUUUUACUCAAACCGAGCCCGAGCUUUAAGUUUCGACUCACAAGCCGACUCGAUUCGACUCGACUCGUUGACAUCCGUAGAUAAGUAUGCAUGUUUCAUUUUUAAAAUGCUAUUCGAUCUGAUGAAGUGAAAUAUAUAAAUCAUCUACAAAGGAGAAUGAUAAAUCUCUUAUUUUUCUUUCCUUGUGCCUGUUUAUUACUUCUUUUUUUUUUUUUUUUUUCCCGCCCUUUUUUUUUUUUUUUUUUUUUUUUUUUUUGUCCUGCCAUUUUUCUAAUUUAUUUUUUCGUUUAUUUCAAAAUUUAAGGGCAAAAUUAUCUUUUUCACAUCAAGUGUGUUUAACAAAAUAAAUAGAUAGAACCAAACGGAAUGGGCAUUUGUGCAAAUAAUGGUUGAUCUAAAGGCCUAAACGUCAAAAUUAAAGAUAUAGACGAUUUUUGCAAUGUAGAUAAAUAAUAUGGUUGAUCUAAAGAACUAAAUGCCAAAAUUAAAGAUAUAGACGAUUUGGGCAAUGUAGAUAAAUAAUAUGGAUAAUUUGAGUAAUGUAGAUAAAUGAUCCUUUUACUCCCAUUACCCAUGAUUUUAAUUUAGGAUGUGAUUCAAGAUUGUUAUUUUGAUUAAUAUUCUCACCCUCCACGAUGUUGAAUUUAAUAUAGAGUUUCCUUCUGGUAUGGAAAAUAUAAUUUAGCAAAUUCAAUGCAUAUUUAGCAAAUCGCAUAGGCCACCUAAUUUCAUAACAACUACUUCCACUUGGACCAAUUAAAAAACAAACGAGCAAUUGACGAAGACGAUGUUAAAAUGACAGUUAAGUGUUAUGUAAAUAAUAGGGUUCUAAAAAGCUUUCCUAAGCUCGGAGUUCGGGCAAAAUGCCUCGUUUCGCGCCCAUUGCCUAAACGAUUGAAUUUUUUCCUUCAUUUCUUUCGUCUUCCGUAGACGCACUUUAUUAAAUUUUUUAAAAGUUUUUUUAUUUGACUUUAGCUUAUUAUUGUUAUUAUUAUUUAAAAGAAACUUUUAUUUGACUUUAAUUUCAAAUUUUUAAAAGAUUUUAUAUGUACAAAAGUUAAAAAUGACUUUAUCUAGAUAAUUAAAUAAGAUUUAAGUGUUGGUAUUAUCAAUAUUAUGUAAUUAUGAUCCUAAAACUCAUUUUAUUACAAAUUCCAAAACUGUGUAUGAAGUUUCCAUAAAUCCAUGAAGUUGAAUUUGUCAAAUUGAAAUUUGAAACUACGAAAAAUAUUCUAAUUUUUGCAUUUCAAAAAAUUGAAAAUUGUAUAAUUGAUUAAUGGUAUAAGUUAUUGAGUAAAUAUUGUAUUUUAUAAUUUUAGAUGUUUAAUAUAUAUUAUUUUAAUUAUUAAAUAAUUUUUAAAAUGAUUAAAAUUUUAAAAUAAUAUUAUAAAUAAGAAAACGUUUUUUUUACUCCUAAAUCUCACCUAGGCUCGCUUCAGCUCGUAAAACUUGAAACUUCGACUCUAUGCCUAGUGAUGUUUUACGCUUUUUAGAACAUUGUUAAAUAAUGAUGGCAUUAAAUAUCCAUAGAUUUCUCUAGUUCAAAAAGCAUGUCAUAUUGAGAUUGGACGGUCGAAAACCAUUUUGAGAAUGUUUAAUAUAUUGGAUUGAACUUUGCAUUUGAUAUGAAUAUCUCAUUUUAUCCAGUUCUACGUGUGGAAUUCAAAGAACACGGUGAACAAGUGCCCCUAAAAUUAAAGAGGCCAAACAUGACACUCGAAUGGGCACAAAACCAGCAAAAUUCAAAAGAUUUAAAGUAAAACAGGCCAAUAUCCACUAUUGCUAAGAGGAAUUUGAUCCAACUGGAUCUGACAUUUGAAAUUUGUCUAUUCAAUCAACGGCCGAGGACUCAACAAAAAAAAUCAAAGAAAAAACACAAAAAUGGAAUGAUUUUCCCACCCCCUUAUGUAUACAAACUACAGAACUACUUUUUCUUCAAGAGCAUAUUCACGUCGACAUAACUGUGAUUCUCUAUUUACAGGUGUACAAUUACGAUACUUCUUUCUCUAUUUACAGGUGUACAAUUACAAUUACACACGUGGCCUCCUCUCGUGAGAUGGAGUUGGCCACACACACUCUAAUGGUCAAGUUAGUUGGGAGAACAAGUAUAUGAGUGUGAGAAGGUUUUAAACGUGCCUCCAAUAUAAAAGGGGGGUGGUUUUGGGAGUAUUGUAUAGAAAAAGAGAGCAAAGUCAUAGCUUAAAAGUCCAAACUUGCAUUACCUUCAGGUGACCUUAAGUGUGAGCUUUUAUAGUACAAGAGUAUGAAUGGGGACCGUUGGAUGAAGAGACAUGAGGCUUUCAUCCAUGUGAUUGUCACUUCCUCUCAUAGAUGUCAAUUAGUCAAAGGGAAUAAAUGCUAACACCGCUUUAUCAUCCAUACAGCCUAACUUGUGGAUGUGGACUUGAUUGAAUAGGCUAAAAGUGGCGACGGUGGCAGAGAUAUCAUGUCAGUCAUAUCAAAAGAUUGACUGAAAGAUUUUGUGUUAGGCUCGUCCUGUCUUCUUUGCCUCUGCUCGUUGAGGCUGCUACCUGUGGAGAUUACCUUGCUUCGGACCAUACGGGUUCAGAUAUACAUGGGCUCGAAUAUGUGUGAUGCAGCCCAUCUUCCAUCAGGCCUAGGCUAGACCAUAAUUAGAGCCUCAUUCUCGUAACAGUAGUCAAUGAAGAUAUGUUAUAAAUUGAGGAGUACGAUCGCAACUCACCAUAGCAUGUAGCCAAGACGUCCUUCCUCAUUGCAGACAAUGCCUCACUAGCAAUCACCUUUAGAGCCUAUGCAUGCCUGCCAAGAUACAUAAUGCAGUAGAAUCAAUUUUUUGAUCGUUAGAAAGAAAAAAGUGAGUUCCAUUUGUGAGUGAAGAAAUAAAAAAUGACGGUUGACCAUGUUAAGUAACGAUUAAACAAUUAAUUUUUUGGCUUGAAAAAUCAGAACCAAACGGAGGCAUAAUGUUUUCCUAUGAAAAAAAAAUUGUGUAGUUAGCAUGCAUGAUUUGUGAGGGAAAAAAUUUAAAUAAAAAAUAAAUAAAAGUAGCUAUUUUAAAAGUUUGGAAUCCACAAAUCGUGUGGACUAAAAUUUAUAAGUCAAACUAAUAAGCCAAAUUCGUUUGACACUUAUAAGUUAGAUUUAUAGAUUUUGAUCCAUACUAUUUGUAGAUCCCAACUUAUAAGAUAGCAGUUAUANNNNNNNNNNNUUUUUUUUCAAACAUUCUCAAUUGUCUCGCACAUGCCCAAAACCCCCUUGCACUCCCCAAAAUUAUUAAUACCGUGACCCAACUAAAAGGAUGAACUAAUCAAUUCCUAGUGGGAAACAAUAGCCAAUUCUCGUACUACAGUCUACAUUAUACAUAGGACUGCAUAAAUCAUCUUUUGAAAAUCCAAGGAUAGCUAACCAAGAGGGGGAUGAAUUGGUUAUAUAAAAAUUUUCGAAAAUUAAUUCUAGAUUUAAACCAAUACAAAAGUAAAUAAAUCAAUUAAUCAAAUAGCCACAAACACGAUAACAAGCAAAGAACAAUAUAAUGAUUUGAAUAAUAAACAAAUGUAAAAAUUAUAAGUAAAAGGGAAUAGAAGCCAAACGAUAUGUUGUGGAGGGUCGAUCCAAUGCAAUGUUCUACAUCCCCCAUUACCAAGCUCUUCAGCACGAGCAAGGCAUUUUUCAUUAUAUUGAUUGACUUAUGAUACAAUCCAACAUUCUAUAAAGCUUUUGGUGACUUACAAACAAGGAGCACCAAUCCUUUACAGCGUUGAGCUUUUUGGGAUCUCAACACGAUCCACACUAUUGAGUUUUAAGGGACCUCAAUAUGACCAAUACGAUAACUUACAAUAAGGAGCACAAAUCCUUACAUAAUGCCCUUGUUUGAGCCCCAUUUUUUCACCAAAAUACAUUUUUCAACAGUGAUUUGAUACUAUUUCAACCACAAAUUCUUCAAUAAAAUAAUAUUAUAUACAAAUCAAAAACUUUUUCUUAUUUUUUAACCAUUUCCCAUCAAUACACUAUUCAAAAAUUCAUUUUCUCCUCUAAAAUGGGGCUCAAACAAAGGCAAUGUUGAGCUUUCCGAGAUUUCAACGCGACCCACACUUUAUCAAAAUGAUUUUACAAUCAAAUCCUCUCUUGAUAAAUAAUACAAAACAAAUUAAGUACUAAAAGAGGCUAACACUUCAAUGAAUACUAACAAAUGAUAGCUCAAGUGUUAGAUGAAAAAUUUUGAUGAAAAAAAUUAAGUUCAAUCAAUCAAAGUAUUUUAAUGAGAAGAUGAAGAAGAAUUAAAUGCAAUAUAAAUUCAAAUAAUCUUCUCAAGAAAUAUCUCUCUUUUAAUGAAUGAUUAUAAUAAAUCAAGUACUACGAGAGAAAGGAGAAACUUUGAUGAAUAUAAUAAUUUUACAAAUUUGAUUCAAUCAAUCAAAGUUUUCAAUAUGAAGAAGUUAAAAAGUUUAUGCAAUAUAAGUGUAAAGAACUUCUUCAAGAAUAUAUCUCUCUUUGAAAAUUGAUAUAAAUAAGUUGAGCACAAAGAGAUAUGAAAAACUUUGAUGAGAAUGAUGAUUAAUGAGUUUAAAUCAAUCAAAACUUUUGAUAUGAGGAAACAAAUGAAUGAAUGCAAACGAAGGCUCAAAUAAUUCUUAAAACAAAAUUUCCCACUUUGAUUCACUUAGAAAUCUCUUUAAGAAUGGAAAUAGUGAGGAUAUUUGUAGAGUUCAAAAACGAGAAAAAAAUCUUUACUGACAGAAGACUAGUCCGGUCGACUGCCUCUUGUUCGGAAGAUCAAUAUAGCUGUUUAUACAGCAAAAAUCAGAAGUCAAAACGGUCAAAUUUUGAACCAUUAGAGGGUGUCCGAUCAACCGCCUCUUUGGGCUGUUGACCGCCUUGACAGCGCGGUAUUUUUACGUUUUGACACCAUUUGUUCCGAUUUGAAAUUUUUGAAGCGCGUGGACCUUUGGAAAAUAUUUUUAACUAAUUUUUCAUGAUAAAAAUAUUUUUUAAAGUCUAAAUAUCACUUUUAAAAGUCGUUUUUAUAUUUGAUCAAAAUAUUGCAUUGGAAUGACUUUUAAUGCAAAAAUUUGUUUUUAAUGCAUAUAAGGAUUUUGAGUUUAACCAUUCAUUGUCAAAUAUCAAAAUGUUAAUACCUUUACAUUUUGCUUAAGAAAUCAAUUCUUAAAUCUUCCUCCGAUGUUUCUUUCAUGUUUGACUCUUGAACUUUUGAUCUUUAUUUUUCUUGUCAUUGAUCUUCAAUGCUUGACUGUUCUUGGCAUUUAUCUUUUAAGCUCUCGUCUUAAAUGAUUUGACUUGAAUGCAUAACCAACUUUCAAUUUGAUCUCAUUUCAAGUCCAAUAUAUGUUGCUUGAGAGCUUUUAACAUUGAACUAUCAUCACUCAAAAUAAAUUAUUAGAAACAAUAUCAAUCUUGUUUGUUACGAUCAAAACAUUGAGAAUGAAGUAAACAUCUUCUACCUGGGAAAUGAAUCAAAUCCUAUUUUUUACAAGACCAUAAAAUUCGAUUCCUAAUCAAUGUGGGACAAUGUAAAGUUGAUUCCUACAACAAAUGGAUUUUUUUUAUUUUUUUUUAUUUUUAAAGAACGAUCUAGUUUCAUUAUAUCGUUUUAUGUUCUUAUUAAUAUCAUAUAUUGAUUACUCAUGUUAAUUAAAUUGUGGAAGUCCAAUUAUUGCUCUAAAAUCUUGUAUAAUGGAGCACUAUAUCGAUAGACUUCUAUUUGAAUUAUCCCGUGUGGUUGAGAUUAAGGAAAGUCUUAAUUUAAAUAAUCAAUACAUUUAUCAAAGUUUACCGUAUAUUCUUCAAUACUAUACAUUGUAUUUAUUUUUCGUUUAACGAACUAAUAAUUUUAUGUAUUUUUUUUUUAAAUAAGUAAGAUUCAUGAAUCUACUUUUUUUUUUUUUCCCAAGAAAUAAAUUGUAAAUUGUUCAAUGUACUGUGCUAUUCCUUUUCAUGAACAUACAAAAAACUCUAUUUAAUUUAAACAAUCAAAAGCCAUAGUAGCACAAUAAAUCAUACAUAUGAAAAUGACUUCUCAUUUUUAAAAAUAUAAGCAGUUCAACACUGACGGAUAAUAUGAAAAAUAUUUUGCAAGUUUAACUAAGAUAACACAGGUAACACUCAAGGACCACACUAUAAAUUCUUACUAUAAUAAUAAUAAUUACAUAUGAAGUUCAUUUUGACAUAAGUUUCAAGAAGAAAGAAAAAUAUAUUAAAUUAUUCUUAAAGGCCUCAUAGUCAAAUAAUAAGAACUUAUCAGAAAAUUAUUAAUUUAUAUAUUACAUGAGAUUUAUAUGAAUUUUUAAUAAUGAUUUAGCGAAGUCAACAUUGGCCGAAAAUAUUAUUUAAUCGAAAUCAUCAAUGUAUCUGGUGUUAAAUUCUACUGUAUUCAUAGGUAAGGAUAAAUAUAUAUAAAUUUAUCGAUAAGGACUUUUCGAAUUGUUUCGAUUUUCAUUUAAUCCUAUUUCGAAUGAUAUUCUUGUGAAUCAAUGAUUUAGCCAUCACUUUGUGUUGUUUAUCUCGUCUAAUAGACAUUACCACUGCAUUUCCCGAUUAAAAUUUAAAAAGAUAAGAAUUGACACUCUUUCGAAUAAGUGAAUAAGUUUUAAAUAUUGCAAAAGAUAAUUUUGUUUUAAUUUUAAUUUUUUGAUUUUCUAGACGGGUAGCCGUACAGUCGCAUGUAUUCUAACAAAUGUACAGGUCUUCUACUUAAUUAAUUGCAUUCAUUUCCUAAACUCGUCCAAAUCCAAUAAAUUCACAACUUUUUAUAUUAUUGGCACAAACACAACAUUCUGUUACGUGUAGAAUUCUUAUUGGUUCGAGAAAUUAACCUUGACGUUUCCGAAGAGUCCUAGGUUUCUGUUUUGUCAUAUACAUCUCUCCUAACCAAUAAGGGAAAAAAAAAAAAAAAAAAAAAAAAAACAUUUUAUUUAAAAGUAACCCUUACCUUUCUGUUAAAAUAAAAAGUAACUUGUUUUCAAAUAAAUUUACUAAUUUAGUUAUAAACAAACUCUUUAAGCUUUAACCAAACAUGCUGUUAAUACCCUCUGCUAAUCUGAGAACGUUCAGUCUUCCACCUUUCCCAUUUCAAGCUUUGACCAAUUGUUGUCCGUGGAUGCAGGAGGAAAUUGUGCUCCUGUAUAUCAAUGAACAACAAAUUUCUCUCUACCUAUGCCUGCAGAAAAUCGACAAGAAUUUCCCUCUCUCUCAGACUCAACGUGGGAAGACUUGGACAUUGACCAAGACGAAAUUCCUUCUGAAUUAAAGAAUCCAUUAUGUAUACCACAAGAUAGACUUGAAGAUGUGGAUUUUUUCCCACCCUUUGGAGAUGAUUUAAUUUCAUUAAGUGGAUUAUUUCAGUCACCAAAACAUAAAUCCUCCUGUUCAGGUCAAUUUUCAUCCAAGAAACACUCCAAUACCCUUUCAUUGGAUGCUUGUGAAAACAUGAACGUACCUUUGUUUUUGAAUGAUUUUCUGGGCUUCCGAGGAAACCGUAAUCCAGAAAAACUCCAUUUUCAUGGCUCUCAGAAGCAAGAAUCUGAAGAUAAAGGGAAACGGAAAGGGAAAGGGAUUUUGUACGAAUUUUUUGAACAGACCGGCGAGAAACCGGCAAUUGAAGAUGGGUAUAAAGUUACAUCUCUAAUGAACAAGAGAUGUGGGAGCAACGGACCACAAAGCCAUUCACGGAAUUCAUCGAAAGAUACGAAACUGAGGUGCACUCAUUGCCAAGCUGAGAAGACACCACAGUGGAGGAUGGGUCCAUUGGGGCCAAAGACGCUGUGUAAUGCUUGUGGCGUGCGAUUCAAAUCUGGGAGAUUAAUGCCGGAGUACCGCCCUGCAGCGAGCCCAACUUUUGAUAGUACGAAACAUUCUAAUUUUCAUAAGAAUAUAUUGCAAAAAAUUAAUUACUUGAAGUGAGAUUUGAAAUAAAUUUUAGGUUUUACAAGAUAGAUUGAAUUUCAUUGGCAUUAAUUUCGAGUUUAACAAUAGGAAUUAGUGGUUGUCACAUGUCUUGUAGUGUUUCAUACAUUUUUAAAUUCCUUACAUUUCUACAACUAGAUUUUAGCAUUCAAUGUGUAUUCCUCAAUAUUCUCUCUAUGAAAAAAUGAUACUUGUACAUUCUUGUUUACUACUUGGUUUACAUGAUGUACAAGUGCAAGAGUUUGAAAAAAGUUACGAGUAUAGGAAGUGUUAACAUAUUUUCAAUAGGGGACACUUGUACCCUUGUGAUUGGCAGCUGCCAUGAAAAUCUAUUAACAUUUCCUGUAUGUGUGGUGCAACUAGCAAGAGUUUACACACCAUGUUGGACAAAUAAAUACCGGUGAAAUCUUGCCACUUGUAUAUUAUAUGUAAAUCAAGUGGUAAAUAAGAAUGUACAAGUAGUGUUUCUCAUAAUCUAAUUUUUAAUUAUUCAACAAUUUCAUUUUCCGAGCUCAAUAUUAGCCAGAUUAGUUAGCUUUACAUGUUUUAAUGUAGGAACAAGAUCUUAUUCGUAACAAAAGCUGAAAGUAAUUUGUUACCGCUAGCCUUGGUCAAGACUAAAUCAUAAGCUAAAAAGGAAUUUGCUUUUAGCUCCCUAGCUCUAGGGGGCAAGGGACAAUGAUAAAAAGUUGUACCCAAAUUGCUCUCAUGUAUACGAAGGAAUGUGGUUCGUUUGAGAAAUUCCUACCUCUCCAUUUAUCUCUUCAAUGUUUUGAUUUUUCAAAAGCUAUCCCACUUGGAUAAAGUUAGAACUUUUACUUAUAAAAGGGUCAAGAACGACGAAUCUUCGUAUGAUGAACAUAACCAUUUUGCAAGUUCGUUAUUACGGAUAGUUCCUACAAAGUUUGGACUGAUGGAGUAUACAAUACUAGAUUCCUGGUGUAAAUACUAUAUAGUCGGUUUUAAUCCUCGACAGACAACGAGUAUAAUAAAUCAGAUGGUUCUUUUAUUAAUUUUUAUUUUAUGACUUACUUUUACAAUUCCAAAGUCGAAAAGAUUGAUAAAAUCCACUUAUGAAGAAUUUCUUGAAAAUUUAAGGAUUAGUAAUCUUCUUUAUAAAUUGAAAGAAUUCAGUCUUAUACAUAUGUGAAGGCAAGAGGUAAGGGCUGGAAUUGAUAUUGGAUUGAGAGAGGGAUUUGGAGCACAUGUAGAAGAUAGCUUGGAACAUCACAAGUUCGUAUUUUAUGGAAAUAGAUGGUUGGUGUUUAGUAAGUCUUUAAAAAGAUCACGAAAGUCUGUGUAUUUAUAUGUAUCCGGGCUACGCCUUUUUCAUAUACUAUUGUAGUGAAUAUUUGUGGGGAUCCUUUUCUAUAGAAGAUAGAAUAUUUAAGAGGAUAGUUUCUCCUCCUAUCAAUGAAUUUGACAGAAUUAUAAUUCUUUACUUCAGUUAAUCUAACGGUCUAAAUCUAUUAAAAUGUUUUAUAUCCACUACAUCCAUAUCCAAACACACCACAAUGAAGGUUUUAAUAAAUCUAGACUGUUAGAUUAACUUAAGUCGAAGGUUAAGAUUAUUUGUCAAUCCCGGACCAGAUGCAAAAUCAUAUCACCUUUAUUUCAUUGUUAAUUCCUUUUAUACAUGCUUCCUAUUGGAAUAGGCCAAACAAUAAGGCCGUGGUUGGUCCGUCGUUUUCGGUUCAUUUUUCGUUUUGCGUUUUCGAAAACGCGUUUGGUUUGUCAUUUUCGAAAACGCAUUUUCGAAAACGAGUUAAAAUUUAUAACUGAAAACACAAAACGACUUUUUAUCGUUUUCAGUUAUAAAUGUCGAAAACGCUCAAAACGCGGAAAACGGGCCGUUUUCGAGGAAAACUAAAAAUCAUUUUGAAAAUGAAUAUGGAAAAUGAAAACGCAAACCAACCACUACCUAAACUUCUUGCACUAAAGCUAGAUAAAUUUAGUGAUUAAUCGGGUUUUUUUUAACGUAUUUGGGGUGAUAAUAUUUUAAGGGAGCCAUUAUUUAGUACUUACAUCGAUCAUUGUUAUAUAUCUAUCAUACUCUACAUCUAUCCCUAUUAAUUUUUUUUAAAAAAAAUAUUAUUUUCAUCCACGUCACAUUCCAAUAUUGUCAUUAUUAAAUUCAUUCACACCAUUUUUAUAUAUCUAUCUCACUCUAAAUUUAUCCAUGUUACCAAAAAGAAAAAAAGAAAAAGAAAAAUUAUAUUCAAUACCAUUACAUAUAACAUCAAUAUUCUCAUAAUUCAAUAAUUAAUUCUGUAGAUUACAAAUUUAUAAGAUGGAUUCCAUGAACCAUAAACCACCCUUAUAAUCACUGUCACCCUCAAUGUGACAUUGACUCUAUUUUUUUUUUUAUUGAAAUCGAAGAUAAUAAUUUGAAACGAUUUGUAACAUUUAUUCUAUUAAAAGGGAAAAAAAUGAUUUUAAAAAACUCGCCUUUUGAUGACCACCAUAAAAAAGAUGACAAAGAUGCAAUUCUAUACAAAAAUAAAAAUGAAACUAUCCUAAUGAGUGGGGAUUAAAAAUAGAUUAUUCUUAAUAAAUUUCUAGUAUCUAGAUUUUUCUUAAUAAAUUUUAAAUAUCUUUCAUGUUUACAAAUUAUUAUCUCUCAAAUUUACAUACGCUUAUUUUUAACAAUAACCAAUUAAUGUGCCAUGUAUGUUCAACCCACUAGUAAAUUGAGAAGUAUAAAAAUAUAAUAAAAUAAAUAGAUUCGGACAGGGCAUGUUCCCCUUCUUUGCUUGCCCCACCUUGAAUUUUUUGAACUCUCUGUUAUCUUCAAUCAAAUUUUGUUGAAUAAUGCUAAAACUUGGGAAGCAUCAUGACCUCAUGUCACUGUUCAAUUGAAGCAAAAGAUGAAUGUGAAGCUAAAUGUCUUUCGCACUCUUAUUUAGGCUUUUAAACUUGCUCGAUAUUUAAUUAUUUGAGCGGAUUCUACUCAAGUUGGUUUACAUAUUCCUUUUAUAGGAACAAAUCUCGGUUUGAAGGUGAAUUGAGCAUAGUGAAAAGAAUUGAAGCUCAAAGGAUGAUAUGGAAGAGCUAUCGGAAAGUUUGGACUUGACUUGUGUUAACAUGCUAAAAGUGCAGCCCAAUUCAAAUAGUCCAAAGAAUGAAGUCCAACUGGACAAUUCAGGAUAAAGGCCCAAAUGUGGUUAUUAAUGAAUGGUAAGUCCACGAACGCGGUAACACCAUCGCCCAAACUUACAAGACGCCCAGGAUCUGAGCGAAUGAAGUGUCUUACAGUCGCCCAGAGUUGUAACCCCGUUCUCGCCCAAACCUUUGAAUCGCCCAGGACCUUAGCAAACAUAAGGUAUUAUGAUUAUCCAAAAGUACAGUUAUCGAAGCAGUUAUUGGGUAAUCUUGUCACGUUUCACGAUUCAAGAAGUUUAGUUGAAGACGGUUGAACGACAAAGAGUAGUGGCAGCAUCUAGAAACGGCAGUUCCACGAUAAGUUGGCCAUCAUGAAGAAAGUGGGCAGUUAUAAAGCAAUUAAGCAGUUUCUAAGCGGUUGGUCACAAAGAGAGCAUCAAGAGAAUAUAAAAGGAAGAAAAGACAUAUAGCAAAGGACCCCGAAUCAAACACUCUCAAACAGAGAAUAUGUAAUUUCAAUUUCUUAGUUUAGACUUAAAACAUUUCUUUUUCAGUACUCGUGUGCUUGCGCCCCUUGGAGGCAUUUCUGUUUAAGUUCCAAUUGUAAAGUCAUUGCCAAUAAAACACCCCCUUUUGGGACUUUGUCUCAAGAGGUUUGUCCCUUACACAAUCGUCUGAUCCCUUUUUAAUUGUUAGCGACUACCCGCGCGAAACAAUUUGGCACGCCCGGUGGGACAUUGGUGUUUGGUGUUGAAGAUACAAAAGGUGAAAAAAUAUGCCUCAAAAUUCGAUAAGGAAGCAGCAAGUCAGGGAGGAGUCCAGUCUGUGAUCGAGUGAUAUGAGGAGCAGCAUAGCUCUCCACGAACAGAUGGACAGAAUCAGAGCAAUCAUAGUCGUUACGAACCAAUGACAGAGUUGAGUCCUCGAACCAUGCGUGUAUUACUCGGAGAACUCACACAAGAUGUCGUUGAACAGGUAAAUCUACGAAGUAUUCAUAAUAUGAAAGAUUUACCCAAAAUGGAAAUGCGCAUUAUGACAACAUGACCAAACAAUGAAUACUUUGAACGAAAUAAUGAAUAAGUUAGUAGGCCAAAUUUCUCAGCCAGUUGUGCCUCUUGCAAACCACUUUCAGACUAGGACAAUUGUGGGACAUAAUUCCCCGAUCCUAAGUUUAAAUCAAGGGGUAGAACCACCUUUUGAUCCCUCUACUUUAAACCAGGGGGUGAUGUAAUUCCAAAUCAGAAUAGUGACAUUGGUACAUCUAACUUGGGAGGUAACCUAAAUGUAAGAGAUAAUGUCCUAAAUAAUGGGCAGAAUACCACACGUGUUAAUAAUGGAAUAAAUGCUCAGGCUAAUGGUAACAAUGGCCCAAAUUAUGGUAACUUUGUUGCUAAUCAAGGACCAGACAUCAGGCAUCAAGCAAAUCAACCGGUCAACCAACCUGUAAGAAUUCCAUAUGACCCCAACGUCAUGUUGAGGAAUCAGAUUAUGGAAAUCAUACAGGAUCAGAUGGCUUUUGGAGUACGACCUGUCAUUAGGCCGACUUACACAAAGCCAUAUCCUGAUUGGAUAGACCAAGCAUAUCCAUGGCCUAGAGGGUAUAAAGUGCCAGAAUUCUCACUGUUUACCGGUUUAGGAGAGGUGUCUACUCUAAAACACAUAGGGCGAUUCACACUGCAAAAUGGUGAUGUAAUUGAUUACCAUAAAAUAAGGCUGUUCCCUAGUUCAUUAACAGGAGUAGCCUUCUCCUAGUUCAUCAAUUUUCCAGCAAACUCUGUUCAAACAUGGCAACAAUUGGAGCAAUUGUUCCACGCUUAGUUUUAUAAGACUGAGUCUGAAGUUACUUUGGCCGAUUUGAUGAAUCUACGUCAAAUGCCAAACGAAUGGGUAGAAGUUUCCUUCAAAGGUUCAAGACAGCAAGAAGUAAAUAUUUUGUACCUUUGCCCGAAAAGGAGUUUGUCAAAAUCGCUCAAGGUUGUCUAAACUUUGAUCUGAAGAAGAAGUUCCAAGACAAGGAAUUUCCUGAUCUUUUCCAAUUGAACGCGAAUAUGAUUAGGUAUGAACGAUUAAUAAGAGAAGAAGAAUAAAUGAAAAAUUCUAGCAAGGGGACUUAUUAUAGAGACCCAAAUUUUGAUGUUCAUAUCAUUAAUGACGAGUGUUAUGAUCAAAUCGAAAUGUGUUUGGCCGAAUUAGUUAAAGGAGACACAUAUACUUGUCCUAUAAUGGCUAAGCCUAGACCGUCGGGCAAGGAUGAGCCUAUAAAAGAUGAAAACAUAAAGGCUAGAAUGUUCUCGUUCGAUGUAACCAAAGCUGACCUUAUAUUUGAUAAAUUAUAUAAGGAUAAACAGAUAAAGUUGAGCGAUAAGCAUAAAUUGCCAAGCCCUGAACAAAUUAAGGGUAAAAACAUUUGACUAACAACUGCUUGGUUUUUCACCAUGUGUUACAUGAUGCCAUUGAAUCAGGACGAAUUACGUUCGAGGAUAAGAGGAAGAUGGCAGUGGAUGAAAAUCCUUUUCCACAGCCACUUGGAGUGAACAUGGUGACAUUUGGUUUCAAAAACAAAUUGCCAAACUUCAAGUUGGUUAUAGAUGAUGGAGAAGAAGACCCUGGACAACAUCACAAUGUCUUUGAACGUAUCAAAGGGAAGGAACCAAAAAAGGACGAAGACGUCAUAUGUGCAAGAUACAAAAAAGAAGUGAGUGCAAAUGCAGAGAAAUCAGGGAUAUGGCAACAUCACCGUCGUUCUAGUUUUUUUCCAAACGUUCAGCCUGGUAGAGGGCAGGGUACAUCGUUCUAUAAGGGACCGUCUUUUGAGAGGUAGUUCAGGCCAGUAAAUAAUGGGAGGACAUUCAGACCGCAACUUUGCCCACCAAAUGUAUGGCAUUCGUUCCAGUAUGAGGCUGGAAGGGCGAUACCUUUCAACGAAAUGACUAGAACCCAACAAAGGCAUUUUCAACUAAACUACGGCCAAUGAUGAGGCGACAACAGGGAAUGUUGUGUCCUAAGGCACCUAGAUUACUCGAGGCGGCCAAUCAGAAUGUUCUCAAAGACAGUGAAGAGACUGAUACAGGCGAACCUAUGGAAGAAUUGUCAAAAACUUCUUCUGGGAGGUCGGAGUUUGAGCGAGACAGAGGGGAUGGAGAAGAUCCAGAUCAGCCCCUUACUAUUCAAUUUGGUACGUUACCUCCUGUCGUGGCUAAUAACUAUUUACUAGCCAAUGAGUUCAAGAAUAAAGAGAAAUGGGAAGAAGAAAAGGAGGAUAACAAAGAGGAAGCAUGCAUGCUGGAAUAUGAAGAAGGCCAAACUUCUAGAGAGGCCUACAAUGGUGAAGAAGAUGAUGGUAUGACAGACAUCGAAGAGGAAAUCGAUCUGGAAGCGAAAAGAAGAAGAAGAGGAUUAUCGUACAAUACUCUGUUGAAGCAAUUACAUUGAGAGGGAGUUCGUGAAGUAGACUUAUUGGGAGAACCAUCUGGGCGUUCUUUCGAUUUUUACGUGCUAUACGGGACGCCCAAAAUAAAGAAGAGAGUGCCUCGCUCUGAAAAGUAUGGAUCACCUCCAAGAAUAAUGUCUCCUCCCACAGGUUGGGUAACUGAAGAAGAAGCAUUAGAAAACAGUGAAAGGGAAAUUCAGGAGACUGAGGCUCGGUGCAAUAUGCUGCACGUUGACUUAUCACAAAAGGGUAACUCGACAGAGGACAAGCAGGAAGUGGAAAUAGAUGCUGCCGAAAAAGUUAUUUUUAAGCAACCAGCCAUGAAAUUGACCAAACACUUGAGGUCAUUAUAUGUUAAAGCUCUAGUACCUGUGGCAAAAGUGCUUGUCAAUAAUGGAGCAGCUAUAAACACCAUUCCAUCUAGGAUGAUGAGGAAAUUCGCAAAGACAGAAGGUGAUAUGAUCCCAACAGAAGUCAUCCUUACAAGUUUCAAUGGAGGAGCAAUUUCUGCUAAAGGGGUUAUGCCAUUGGACAUAACUAUAGGAACAACUACUAGGACCACAGUCUUCUUUGUAAUAGAUGGUCCCACUAGUUACAAUGUGUUAUUAGGGAGAGAUUGGAUACACGGAAGUCGCUGUAUACCUUCAUCGCUCCAUCAGUGCCUAGUUUUUUAGAAUGACAAGGGCGAAGCAGAGGUGGUGCAGGCCGAUUAUAGGCCUUUUGUCGUAGAAGCAAACUAAGUGGAAAGGUUUAUGUAUGAAGAAAAUUAUGGACCUGUUAGAGUAGUCCAAGAUGGAGAAGAAACUCAGAUUGUCGCGCAGAGUGAAGAGCCAUUUUCGGUGGAUACACUCACAGAAAUGUUCAGUCAGAUGAGGCCAAACAUAGUGGCCCUGGAGGAGCCAGUAAUUGGCAAAAGAAUGGCCAAGGAGUUUUAAAUGAGUUGUAAACAACAAAGACAAAUGACCGAUAUUAAGGCCUUCAAAGCCAAAUUAAUAGCUUUCAAUAAAGAAUGCAAGGACAAGACGAAAGAAGCAACAGCCUUGAAAGCAUUGAGAGACAAACUGGUAGUGUUCGAGUUGGAACAAAGUAUUGGCCGAGAAGUCAACAAGGUGGAUUGUUUAGAAGAAGAAGUGCCUAUAAGGGAACUGGACGAUGAAGUGAUAAGGAUCGCCAAGCCUGGAUACGCUCAAGCACAAGACACCCUGAUUAAAGUGAAUAUUGGCAAUGAAGGAGAAGAUCGCCCAACGUUCAUCAGCCAAAUACUCGAUCAAGAGAUUAGUGAUAAAUUAAUCGCUUUAUUAAAGGAAUACAAAGAUUGUUUUGCUUGGGAAUAUGAACAUAUGCCUGGUUUAGAUAGAGAUUUGGUGGAACAUAGGUUACUAACCAAGCCUAAUUUUAAACCUCAUAGGCAACCUCCUAGGCGUUUUACUCCUAAUGUACUCCCUGAAAUUAAGGAAGAGAUAGAGCGAUUCUUAGCAGACUUUAUUAGAAUGGCCAAGUACGUUGAAUGGUUGUCCAAUAUCGUGCCGGUAUUAAAAAAGAAUGGUAAACUAAGGGUGUGCAUAGACUUUAGGAAUCUAAAUAUAGCCACACCUAAAGAUGAAUAUCCAAUGCCCACGGUAGAUUCUUUAGUAGACUCGACUGCUGGACACGAAAUGUAUUCCUUCAUGGAUGGGUAUUCAGGAUACAAUCAAAUUUAUAUAGCUGAGGAAGAUGUACACAAAACUGCCUUUAGAUGCCCUGGGUCUCUAGGAUGUUUUGAAUGGGUAGUUAUGCCUUUCGGCCUGAAAAAUGCAGGAGCAACUUAUCAAAGGGCAAUGAAUUUGAUCUUUCAUGAUAUAAUAGGCAAGUUUGUUGAAGUGUAUGUAGAUGAUAUAGUGGUCAAAUCCCUUAAAGAAGAGGACCAUUUUGAACUAUUAAGAUAUUCAUUUGAGCGAAUGAAACAAUAUAAACUAAAGUUGAAUCCUUUGAAAUGUGCAUUUAGUGCUAAUGCAGGAAAUUUUCUUGGUUUCUUAAUACACAAAAAGGGGAUUGAACUUGAUAAAAAUAAAGCGAAGGCCAUUUUAGAGGCCAAAUCACCUAGCAACAAAAAAGAAUUGCAAAUGUUUCUAGGCCAAGUAAACUUUUUUAGACGCUUUAUUUCUAACUGUGCAGGGUGAACUAAAACUUUUUCGCCGCUUUUAAAGUUGAAAAAUCGGGACGAAUUCGUCUGGAAAGAAGAGCAUCAAAAGGCUUUUGAAAGCCUAAAGACAUAUUUAUCAAGUCUACCAGUGUUGGUGUCAUCAAAAGGCUUUUGAAAUUCAUUGCAUACAAGAUGGAGAUGCAAUAGAUUGGAGGGCAGAGAUUAAAAGGUUCCUUAAAGAACCUAAUAAAGGAGAUAGUAGAAAAAUGAAGUUGCGUUUGCUAAACUAUACACUGAUAGAUAAAGAGUUGUUUAAAAAAUGCUCUGAUGGUGUAUUGCUAAAAUGUGUAAGUUUGCAAGAAGCCAAGACGAUCAUGGCUGAAGUGCACGAAGGGAUAUGUGGAGCUCAUCAAGCUGGCCAAAGGAUGAGAUGGUUAAUUAUUAGGAAUGGAUAUUUUUGGCCAAAGAUGGGAGAAUCAUGCGUUCAGUAUGCAAAGAGUUGUCUAGCAUGCCAAAAGCAUAGUCCAAUACAAAGGGCGCCAGCACGAGAGAUGACACCUAUUAUCAAACUUUGGCCGUUUAAGGGCUGGGCGAUAAACCUAAUAGGGAAGAUUUAUCCACCAUCGUCCAAGUAACAUACCUUUGUUAUUGUUGCAAUUGAUUAUUUCACUAAGUGGGUAGAAGCGAUACCUUUAAAGGAAAUCACCGAAAAUAAUGUCAUAGAAUUUAUCCGUGAUCACAUCAUUUAUAGGUUUAGAAUUCCAUAAACUUUGAUGGUAGAUCACGGAAUAUCUUUAAACGGGGAUCAAGUGAAUAAAUUCUUGAGCGAGUUUGGAGUUAAAUUAGUGAACUUCACAUCAUAUUACGCUCAAUCCAACGGACAAGCAGAAUCUUCUAAUAAGAUUUUAAAAAAUAUCAUAAAAAAAAUGAUAGAUGAAAAUGCCAGAAAUUGGCACAAUGUCUAAACAAGGCCUUAUGGACUUAUAGGACGUCGCCUUGAUCAAGUACCAAAAUUACUCCUUUCCAACUUACUUAUGGACAGGAGGUCAUUUUGCCUAUGGAAAUCAACGUGCAAUCGAUAAGAGUGUGUUUGCAACAUAAGUUAAGUGGCGAUGAGUAUACCGAAUCACUAGUUCAAAACUUAUUGGAGUUGAACGAAUUAAAAUUGGACGUCCUAGAUAGUUGCAAGUUCAAAAACGAAGAAUGGCUAAAUUUUAUAAUAAAAAAGUUAUAGCCAAGUCGUUCAGCUUGGGCGAAUUGGUUUGAAAAACAAUACUCUCUUUGGAUAGCAAAGAUCUAAAGUAUGACAAGUGGUCGCCCAAUUGGGAAGGACCAUAUAAAGUAAAUAAUGUGUUGCCUAAUGGAGCCUAUCAUUUGGAAGAUUUAGACGGCACCAAGCACAUGAGGUUCAUUAAUGGCAAAUAUUUAAAAAAAUAUGUUCCUUCCUUAUGGGAAAGUGAACAAAUAAAAGCGUAAUCAAAUCGCGUUGAACGAUCAUAGAUUAAAAGGGGCCAGAGUAAAAUACGUUCAAAUAAAUUCUUUUAUUAUCAAACGUUCAUUACAAAGUUGCAAAAUACAAAAUACUAAAUGCUCUACAAGCUAUAAUUAAGAGCAAACUAAUCUCCCGGUCGAUCGCCGAGUAAGGGGGUGUACUGGCCUUGAUUGCCAUCCCGAUCGCACUACUGCAAAGGCAAGCAGAGAGGCCGAGAAGCACUCUCAGCAAGCAGAAAGGAAGAAGAAGCACCCUCACAUCGCCUUCCUAAAUGCAUCGUUGCAAUGACGGGCAAGGAGGCUGAGAAGCACUCUUAGCAAGUAAGGUGGCUUGAAAAAUGGGCGGAUCAAAUGAUCCAUUUCCAUGGAAGACGAAGGUUUUGGAUCGAUUGUCAAAAUGCCAAACAAUGACAGCAAAUUGAUUUUGAAGAAGAGAGUGAAAGUGAAAAUGACAAGUGUGGAAUAUAAGUGCAUUUAUAGAGGCGUGAAGGUAAAGCGACAGAAUAUGAACAGCUACAUUCAUGCCUAGUAACUAAAAUCAAAUGGCCCGAAAUCUUGGGAAAAGAGACAGAAAUACCAAAAGAAAAUGUGCGUGAAUUUUAGCAUAAAGCAGUUAAAUGUUUGGGGGUUGACGAUUAAAGACAACGUCAAUAAAUACACAAGAAGACAAAUUAAUCGUUCGUUAAUGGUAAUGGCUACUAAUAUGUUCAGAAUUACCAAUAGACAUCAGUACGAGGUUACAAAGGGAAAGUUAAUAUGAAGUUACAAAAAGACAAGUUAAGGCAUUAAAUGUCUUAAUUACAAUUCACCCCAGACUGAACGAAUUCUUUCCCUAAGUCUCUCCCAAUCCUCGCUUUGCUGAGAAGUAGUGACAUUCAAUUCAGCUACAAAAUCAUCAUCAACCUCCAGCUUCUUGUACUGCUCGACCAAAGACUUGGUUCGCUCAAUUCCUUAAGAGGCAUUGCGUUUCUUAGCAGCCAUUCUCGCCUUAUAGUCGUCCAUCCUUGCUUGAAGCUCCUUCAUUUGUGCAGCCAAGCUGGUCAUCAAAGAGUCUUCAAUCAUGACUUCAGAAGAGAUUUCUUUCAGUUCGUCCUCAGCUUUGUUGAUCUCCAUGAGCAAAGACUCUCUUUCAGAUACAACACGAAGAUAUUGAGUACUUUUGCCUUCAGUUUGACAUUUUUGACCAGCAAGGAGAGAAUCUCGGAAUGAACAACUUUCAACGUCGCUUUAAAAUCAGCAGAAAGAUUGAGCGACGGAAGUGUCAGCAGAAAGAUAUUGAGUACUCAAAUGCUCAAGCUUUUCCUUAUAUUUGGCAGCACUAGCCUGACCGAUCUCCAUAUUCAUAAAGGACACAUACUCAAAUAUCGACUGCUUGAGGAACUUCAUAUCUUCCUCUGAAGAUGCAGAAGGACAACUGGUUGAAGCAGGGCGAGACGUCUUAACUUGCCCCCAGGAAGUGAACAAGUCCUUGAUGGAACGCACAAUUCUAUCAGCAUCCUGCAAAGAAAGUCGCCAACAUUGAAGUUUUUCACUACAAUGAACAAAGUGGAAGUAAAAGUGAAACAAAGAUUACCUCAUCAACAAUCUUGGGAGAUGGCAUAUCCCCAGCCAAAUCUACCACCUGUGGCUCCACCACUUGUGAGGACUUCUCCUUAUCUGAGCGAGAAGACUUUGCCACAACGGACAAACCCAUGGGAGCAUUUGCAGAACUCAAAAAGCAACAAGUCAAAAACCAAUAGCACAAGCAACCAAUAGCACAAGCAAAGGUAAAACAUAAAAAAAAUGUAUUACCUUCUGGUUCGACGUUUGAGGGGUUGACACCCUGGGAAGAAGGUGGCUCAUCCAUUGGUUAUGAUGAGGAUUCUGGGACUGAAGGUUUCUCUUUAAACGUAGUCCCUUCAUCAGCUGGUUUGGAUAAAGCAGCCUCAGCAAAGGGUGAUGGAGCAAGAGCUGCCAACACCAAAGUCUUCGAAGGAGAGGCUGAGCUUUUCUGAGAAAUCCGAAUAAACCAUCAGCACAUAGAAAAGUUUCAAGUAUAGAAAGGUAUGCUUGUGAGUAAACUAAUUUAAUUACCUUUCUUCUAACAAUGAGAGGAGUGUCAUCAUCAUCAUCAUCAUCCUCCUCCUCCAAAAUGGAAAAUGAUGAGGCUGGCCGUUUGUGGCUUGGGACACUUUUAGAUGUAGUAGGCUUAGCAGGAAAAGAAGUAGAUGGACGAACAAACUGUUUAGCACGAGCAGAAGAGGAAGGACUCCUAAUGGACACAGGGGUGACCAAAAGAGGGGAAGUGGAAGAAAUGUCCGGCUGAUCUAGUGAAUGGAAAGCUCGAUUGGCAUCAGUUGCAAACAAUAUGCUCUCAACUGAUGGCCAGAGUUGUUCAAAAAGGGGAUGGGUGGCAUGGCUAGGAUUGAAGGGAGCUAAUGAAAAGUUACUCGUCAAAAGAAUAUUGCAAGCAUUUAUAGCUUCUGCCUCUGCCUUAUUUAUGGUGUAGAAGCGAUCUAUCAAAUUUCUUGAAUAACAAGGAGGAACAGGCCAAGUUUGGCCAAAACCAAGUUGACGAGCAAAAAAUUGGGGAGCAUAUAUUUCAACCCCAGCUUUGGCAUUAGUUCCAGUCAAAAUAUCAUGGAACAACUCCCUCCCAGUCAAAAACUGAACCUAAACGAGCAGAGAGGUGCUCGCAUUGUCCAAGGUAGAUGGGGGAUGCACAUAAUCAGGAGUUAAAAAGGGAGGAAAAGGAAAGAAAGAAGGAAUUGAAUUCAAAGUAUAAAAGAAUGAAAAAAUAUCCCUUUUGGACAUAUGUACAGGGCUCAGUGGGUCAAUAGCUAGCCCAUAGCAAUUAACAAAAUGAAGGGAAAGGGAUAGAGCACCAAGUGAUGGAAAAUAGGCUCUCAACCACAUUUGAGUGAACCAAAGAGGCCCACUGCCAGUGGGAGAUGCACCAUUCUUCAAUUGGAAUUGGAGAGAAGCCAUGCCUCUAUAGAGGGCGGCCAAAAAGAAAGAACACAAAUUCAGAGGCCUACCACACAAACCAAUUCAUGCGCUAUGGGUAAAUAGCUCAUAGAAAGUUUCAGGCUUGGCACACACAGAAUAUAUUUACAAAGUCAAAUCUGAAGAAAGGCCACACGUUCAACAUGAGAAGGCUCAGCGCUCGAGUGAUUAUAACAGCUUUGCAGACUUGAAUAAGACUCGGUGAGUUUUUUGUCAAAUUUUAGGGUGACGCCAGAAAUCAAAAUACCAGGAAAAAUGGUAUCGUCCAAAGGUGGCAGAUUUACUAAGGCCCCGAAAUCCCUUAAAGUAAUGGACAUGGGACCAAGGGGGAAAACAAAAGUAUUAUACUCAGAAGACCAAAAACUUAAAGCAAUAGGGAAAAAGCGCUGGAUCAAAAGUAGGGGGUUGAAGAGAGAUUUCUAGUAAAUCAGAAAUCCUAGCACUAUAAAAAAUUGCCUUGGUAGGACCAUGGUCCACAAAGCGAGCAUGCCAUCUACGAAAAACAACAUCAGAUUUAGGCCAAGUGCGAAUACCUCUUUAGCGAAGCGGCCUCAACGACAAAGAGUUUGGAAACGGAGGGCCUUGAGUACAAGGAAAUGGCUGGCCCGUCGCCACUUGUUCGACGGCCUCGGCAUUGUUGAAUGAAGGACCUAGAUAGAACUCGUUGAGUUCGACAUUGGCUGGUGUAAGGAAGUUCGGAGUUAUAUAUGGCUGAGUGAGGAGUUUCUAGAAGUCUUCGAAACUGAAAGAGUCACCAGAUUGAGAUUGUGAAGCAGCCAUUAGGAACGAAAUAAAGCUUUGUUGAAGUUUGCUUGAGAAACGUAGCAAAGAAGCAAGAAGAUGAACAGUAAUAUUGCAAGAGAGAAGCGCGAAGCAAUGAAGCGUGAUUUAGUAGUGCGAUGAAAUGGCGUGUAUUUGGGGAUUAUAAGGGUUUGCAACGUCCCACCUUUGCAGGCUAUGGAAGAAAAUAAUGAUUGAAAUUCUUGGGAAUUUCAAAUGUUGCUGGGAAACACAAAGUGAAUAUGGCAAAAAUUAAUAAUUGGUAUUAAUUCUGCCAUAUUGGGGGGUAAUUGUUGACAUGCUAAGAGUGCAGACCAAUUCAAAUAGCCCAAAGAAUGAAGUCCAACUGGGCAAUUCAGAAUAAAGGCCCAAAUAGGGUUAUUAAUGAAUGCAGUGUAAGCCCACGAACGCAGUAACACCAUCGCCCAAACUUACAAGACGCCCAGGAUCUGAGCGAAUAAAGUGCCUUGCAGUCGCUCAGAGUUGUAACCCCGUUCUCGUCCAAACCUUCGAAUCGCCCAAGAUCUUAGCAAACAUAAGGUAUUAUGGUUAUCCAAAAGUACAAUUAUCGAAACAGUUAUUGGGUAAUCUUAUCACGUCCACGAUUCAAGAAGUUCAGUUGAAGACGGUUGAACGACAAAGAGUAGUGGCAGCAUCUAGAGACGACAGUUCCACGAUAAGUUGGCCAUCAUGAAGAAAGUGGGCAGUUAUAAAGUAAUUAAGCAGUUUCUAAGCGGUUGAUCACAAAGAGAGCAUCAAGGGAAUAUAAAAAGGAAGAAAAGACAUAGAGUAAAGGACCCCGAAUCAAAUACUCUCAAACAGAGAAUAUGUAAUUUCAAUUUCUUAGUUUAGACUCAAAACAUUUCUUUUCAGUACUCGUGUGCUUGCGCCUCUUAGAGGCAUUUCUGUUUAAGUUCCAAUUGUAAAGUCAUUGCUAAUAAAACACCCCUUUUUGUGACUUUAUCUCAAGAGGUUUGUCCCUUACACAAUCAUCUGAUCCCUUUUUAAUUGUUAGUGACUACCUGCGCGAAACAAUUGGAAUCUUUGAAUGUGCUAAUUCGAUUAUUCACAAGUUUUGAUAACUAAAUUCAACGUUUGGAGAGUUUGAGGACCACCUUGGACAUUAUCGAAACUUGGAAGACCAAAUUUGAAGAAAAUAAAAAGAUGAAACACUUAAGUGAAUGAGGUUGGAAGAUGAAUGAUCAAUAUGGAUCCAAAAUGAAAGUGAUAGGACUGAAGUUAGCUAAUGUGGGAGCAUGGAGACUAUAAAAAAGUGGACAGAGGACUAAAUUGUGUAGAUUGGAAAGUUCAGGGACUACAGACCUAGUGAAAUAUUUAGCGACAGUAGCUGAAGCUGUCUCAAGUGAAAUUUUUUUCCCAAGAUAGUAUAUUAUUGUGAUUUUCAGGUCAAAUGUGAUGGUUCAAAGAGUAUAGAAAUUAGAGCCCUACUUCUUGGCUAGGGUUGGAGACAGGGGAAAAACAAGCCACCAUGUUUUCAAGUCGAAUGUGAUGGUUCAAAGAGUAUAGAAAUUAGAGCCUUGCUUCUUGGCUAGGGUUGGAGACGGGGAAAAAUAGGUGCCCUCCUAUUGGGGGUGCGGCUGUUGGGCCAUAUGGCUUUUCUCUAGAAAUUAUCAACCCGACACUUUGAAAGAAAAUAUAAAUGAAAAUAAUGAAGAAUUAAAAAGAAAUAUAGCAAAAUUGCUCGGACCUAGUUAAACAGAGUAUGUGCUUGCUGGGCGAAAGGGGCACCAAAUUUAUUCAUGAAAUCCCAUUGUUUGAGAAGAAGCCAUUUAAAAUUUUGAAAUUAAAGUCAAAUAAAAAUCUUUUAAUUAAAAAAAAUAAUAAAAAAUUUAAUAAACUAAAGUCAAAUGAAAGGUUUUGUUAAAAAAUAAAAAAUAAUAAUAAUGCCUUACCUAGGUGUGCCAAGGCAAAGUGUUUUGCCCAAGUCUCUUGCCAUUAGGCGUGCUUUUUAUAACAUUGAAUACUAUGCAAUAUUAGUAAUACGUUACAAAUCACGUUCCAAUUAAUUUUCUUUAGUUAACUUAAAUGUGUCGUCUUAAAUUGUAUUAUGGUAAGUAAGGGUCAUUUUUCCACAGAGGAUUAAUUCAAUUAUAUCAAUUGCGCAUUAAAAAGUAAAAUUAAUAAUAAUAUACGAAAUAGAUUAAAUAGGGGGCUUUGGUUUGUUGAAUUAAGGAAAGCGAUAAAUUUAAACUAGAAAAGACUUGAAAUUUGAAAUAAACAAAUUGAUUCUUGAUUGAAUGUGAGAAAAUGUGAUUGGGGGAUAUUUCGUCGCCACGAGAAUGAUUUUCAUGUCAAUAAUCACAAAAGAUUUUCGUUCUCAAAAUUAACAACAAUUCAAGAAUAAUUACAAGUUCAAUUACCUCAAUCUCUUGUUACAUGUUAAUCGAAUAAAACAAGUUCUUUACUCAACCCUGUUAAUUAAACAACUUAGAACAAGCUCUCUAGAUUUAAUUUAAGAAACGCAUUACGACAAAAGAGAUGAAUUGAAUUAAGGGUUAACUCCCAAGCUCGGUUUACUAACUUAAGUGUUAAUCCACAUACACUCAAUUGAAAAUUCUUCAUAAUCUAUUGAAAUAUAAUUGCUACUAGGUUUUAGAAUCAAUAGCUAUUACAUACUACUAAUCCCAAAAUAGCAUUCAUUGAAACAACUUAAUUAUUUAGUUGUACACCUAAACAAUCAAGAAGAACAAAAGAAAUAUUUAACACAAUGGAUUAAACACAUUAAUUAAGAGAAUUAUAAAGCACAAAUUAAUUGAAAAUCAUAACUCGGAUUUGAAAUAAUCCCCAACCACAAAUAUAAUUAGUUACCCAUGAAAUAUUCACAAAUAACUAACAAUUUCUUAUAAAACAUUGAUGGAAAAAGUGAAAAGAAAAACUUAUUGAUAAAGAGAGAAAAUGGUAGAAAAUCCUCCAAUAUCAAUGGGUCAUCUUCUCCAAACUAAUGCAUCAUCUCCAUAUUCCAAUCUUCCCCAAAAUGUCUAAGAAAAUAUAUGUAAAAGGAAAAGGAAAAAGAAAGAAAACAAAAGGCAAGAAGAAGAAGAAGAACCAGUUGCACCCUUAGAGUUACAAGAAUGAAAAUAUUGUGUUUGGUUGAAUGUUUUAACCUAAAACCUAAAGGAAAUUGCAGCAUUGGUCCCUGAAAUUUUGAAAACAAUUAAAAAUGGUCCGGGUGGCGCCUGGACACCACAGUUUAUGUUUUCUACGCCCAGCCUGUUAAAUUUUAUUUCAUUUUUUAAUAGAAACAUCCUCUUUCAACGUCUUCAUGCUUCCUUUAUCUUUUUCGUCUUUUUUCGCAUAAAUACCUUCAAAUCAUCGUUCAAAGUCGGAUUUUCGUCUACACAAUAAAAAUAACUAAAUUAAGUAAUAAAUCGCUAAUGAAACUCACAAAUAUCUAAGUUUAAUGGCCAGGAAUAGUAAAAAAACCCGCACUUAUCACACCCCAAACUUAAAUCUUUGUUAGUCCUCGAAAAAAACUAUACAAACAAGCAUAAAAAUACUUAAAUUAAAACCAAAUGAUAAUACUAUAAUAACAAACACUCCAAAUGUUAGAUAAUUUGCCACUUACUUCAAGUCUUACAUUAUGCAACUAACUUAUGAAAUGUUUACAAAAAUGCUACAACAAACACUCUUCUACUUAUACCAUGUUUGACUUUUGUGUGUGUGAGUGGUCAUUCUAAUUCCGACCCUCAAUAGUCAAAUUUUCCUUUCUCACUCAUGGGAUACACACUUCCCCAAAUUUGAUAUUUUCAAUCUAGCCCAAGGUGUCAAGAACUUAAGGUUGCCCUCAAAUCACUCAAUCUUUUCCUCUCAAAUUUGGUUGGGUUGAACCGAUAAAAUAGAUCAUCUAGUCAUGUAUUAAUUCGCCAAUUUUUUUUUUAAAUGCUUAGACCACAAACUUAUAUUAGGCAAAUUACUCACAAUCCAUCAAUUCUUCAACAAAAUCACCCCUAGAUGCUUAUAGCAUCCCUUUUAUUUUUCUUCAUUUUUCCAAUGUAGGUAGUUCUUGCUCUGAUACCUAAGGGUAGCCUUCUUCAUUCGUAGAUCGUCUCCUACACAUUAGUGAUGCAUAGGACCAAAUUACUUAAUGCUGACUCAUACUUCUUAGGGUAGGCAACUUUUUCCUACAGAUUUUUAUUUAUUUAUGAAAUAUCACUAGAUGGAAAACAACAUCUAACUUUCAUUUGAAGUCUAAGAACAUUCCACAAAAUCAAUCACUGAGUCGGGAAUUAAUACAAUUCUAAAUAAUUUCUUUCACCGGUUCAACCACUCCCAAACUUAUCCUUUCAUUGGUGGAGUAAUUGAAGAAUUUCUAAUAGUAUGGUCAUUUAAGUUCGUCAACAACCUACAAGUGCAACCAACAAGUGCGUGUGAUGAACCUCAUGACCCAAGUGCUCAAUAAAGAGUCAAACAUGGAAUAAAUGGAUGAAAAUAAACAAUACUUAGCAUUCAUGUUCCCAAUUCAUAAAUCAAUGCAAUGCAAUACUCAAAUUGCAAUUGGCAAAACUAUCAAACAACACAAACAAGCAUAAAAACAAGUGUUUAACCUGAAUUUUUAAGUUUUUAGCAAAAACAAAUUUAGCACAAACCACAAGAUUCUACAAAAAAUUUAGCACAUACCACCUCACCCCAAACUUAAAUUGCACAUUGUCCUCAAUGUAAAAGCAAAAAUAAAUAGAAAGCGCGAGAGGUUCAAAUACUCACCUAGUGGUGUUGACGGUGAUGGCUGUAAUGAUGGUUGGGGACCACUGGCGACAAAAAUUCACAAAAGCAAAAAUAAGUGUCCUCUCUCAUGCUUCUUCGUUUGGAUCCUCCAGUCGCAUUUUCUCCAUGUUUUGUGGUACGAAAUCGAUGCCCAUUCACCUUAAACUCUUUCUCAGCCUGAAGGCUUUUGAUUUCUACUGCACCAUGAGGAAAGACAUUAAUAACAACAAAAUGGUCAAUCCAUCGAGAACGUAAUUUACCUGAAAAUAACUUGAGGCGUGAGUGGAAAAGAAGAACUUUUUAUCCAACAGCAAAAGCCUUUCUUGAAAUCAUUUUAUCAUGGUACGCCUUAAUUUUUUCCUUGUAAAUUCUUGAACUUUCAUAGGCGUCAUUUUGAAUUUCCUCAAGUUCAUUGAGUUGAAGCUUUCUUUGAUCACCUGCUACACCUAGGUUCAUGUUGCAUUGCUUGACUGCCCAAAAUGCCUUGUGUUCGAGUUCAACUGGGAGAUGACAAGGCUUACCAUAAACUAACCGAUAAGGGGACAUGCCAAUCGAUGUUUUGUAUGUCGUCCUAUAAGCCCAGAGUGCAUUGAGGCGGAGACUCCAAUCCUUUCUAAUGGGAUUCACAGUUUUUUAAGGAUGGAUUUGACCUCUCGGUUAGACACUUCGACUUGCCCACUAGUUUGCGGAUGGUAUGAUGUAGCCACUUUAUGGGUGAUGUUGUAUCUUUUCAAUAGGGCCCAAAAGGAACGGUUGCAAAAAUGUAGUCCUCCAUUGCUAAUAAUAGCUCUUGGUGUUCCAAACCUUGCAAAAAUGUUGGAUUUAACAAAAUCUACAACCACUUUAGAAUCAUUAGUUCGAGUGGCCCUUGUUUCACCCAUUUUGACACAUAAUCAACGGCAAGAAUGAUGUAAAGGUUACCAUAAGAUAAAGGGAAAUGUCCAAUGAAAUCAAUGCCCCAAACAUCAAAAAUUUCAACAAAAAAUAUGGGUGUUCGUGGCAUUUGAUUUCGGGCUUCCAACGCACCUACCCUUUGACAUCGAUCACAAGAUUUGCAAAAGAGGAAUGUAUCUUUGAAUAAGGUGGGCCAAUAGAAUCCACUUUCAAGCACCUUGAGAGCAGUCCUCUUUGUUCCAAGAUGUCCACCACAUGCAUAAGAGUGACAAAAGGUAAGUAUUUAAUGAAAUUCAUUUUCAUGUACGCACAUUCUUAUCAAUUAAUCCGGACAAUGUUUUCACAAGUACGGCCCAUCCCACAAAAAAUACUUGGCCAUCGCCUUGAGUUUUUGCCUUUGAGCGGUGGUCAAGUCACUUGUAAUUUUCUUAGUGAUUAAAUAGUUCACUAUAUCCGCAAACCAAAGAGAUGUGUCCAUGAUGAGAAGCAAUUGUUCGUUGGGGAAGCUUUCUUGCAAUGGGAAAGUUUCUCUCUCAUGGAUAAGGCGACUGAGGUGGCCAGCCACAGAAUUUUCACUCCCCUUUUUGUCUUUAAUAUUAAGGUCAAACUCUUGUAAGAAGAGUAUCCAUAUAAUGAGCUUUGGUUUUGCCUCUUUCUUGGCAAGCAAGUACCUAAGAGCUGCACGAUCAGAAAAGACAGUUACUUUAGUGCUAAUAAAACAUGAACGAAAUUUCUCUAAGGCAAAAAUAACUGCUAAAAGCUCUUUUUCAGUAGUAGAGUAAUUGAGUUGGGCAUCAUUCAAAGUCGUUGAUGCAUAAUAUAUAACAUGAGGUGUCUUUCCAACUCGUUGUCCUAAAAUGGCCCCCAAUGCAAAGUCACUUGCAUCACACAUCAACUCAAAUAGCCUGUUCCAAUCUGGUGGUUGAAUGAUGGGUGCUGAUGUCAAAAGUUCCUUCAAGCUUUCGAAUGCCUUUUUACAAUCUUCAUCAAAGUGAAAUGGCACCUCCUUUUGAAAUAGCCUGCAUAGUGGUCUUACACAUUUGGAAAAAUCCUUGAUAAACCUUCGAUAAAAUCCUGCACGUCCAAGAAAAGAACAAACCUCUCUCACACUUGUUGGAAGAAGUAAAGAACGAAUUAGAUCAAUUUUAGAUUUAUCAACUUCUAUCCCCUUAGAAGAAAUGAUAUGGCCUAACACUAUGUCUUGAUCGACCAUAAAAUGACAUUUUUCCCAAUUAAGUACUAGGUUAGCAUCCAUACAUCUCUUAAGCAUAAGUGUGAGAUUUCCAGGCAACUAUCAAAGGUAUUACCAUAAACACUAAAAUCAUCCAUAAAGACCUCAAUGAUGCUUUCAAUAUAAUCGGAGAAUAUACUUAUCAUGCAUCUUUGAAAGGUUGCGAGAGCAUUGCAAAAGUCAAAGAGCAUGCACCGGUAAGCAAAGGUUCCAAAUGGACAAGUGAAUGUUGUUUUCUCUCGGUCCUCCAGAGCAAUCACAAUUUGGUUAUAACCUAAAUAACCAUCAAGAAAACAAUAAUGAGAAUGACCUGCUAACUUUUCCAACAUUUGAUCAAUAAAAGGUAAGGGAAAGUGAUUUUUUCGGGUUGCACAAUUAAGUUUUCUAUAAUCAAUACAAACCCUCCAACCCGUUUGGACCCGAGUUGGUACAAGCUCAAUCUCUUCAUUCGUCACCACUGUGAUUCCAGACUUUUUGGGAAGAACUUGGACCGGGCUUACCCACUUGCUAUCGGAGAUGGGAAAGAUGACACCAACAUCUAGUAAUUUCAAAUUUUCUUUUUUCACCACCUCCAUCAUGGGAGGAUUCAAGCGACAUUAUGCUUCUUUUGAUGGUUUUGCUCCAUCUUCAAGUAAUAUCCGGUGCAUGCACAUAGAAGGGCUUAUCCCCUUGAUAUCAGCUAUUGUCUAACCAAUAGCUAUUUUGUGUUCCUUGAGCACAUGGAUAAGCCUAUCUUCUUGAAGUGUUGUGAGAUUCUUUACAAUGAUCACCGGUAGUGUUUCCCCCUCUCCCAAAUAUACAUACUUCAAAUGCUUGGAAAGAGGUUUGAGUUCCAAAGUGGGGGCCUGCAUCACCAAAGGUAAAAGUUUCUCUUUAGAUAUCGGAAUAGUAAUAUAGGAGAGAUCAUAUCUUGGUGGAAUACUUGGUAGUGACUCAAGUGAUGCCAUGGUUUCUACAACAUCCUUGCACACUUGUAAAUUCUUGCUCAACCCGAUGAGAUUGUUAGCAUCGAUGCUUUUAAUCAAAGUGGUAUCCAAUGCAUCUUCAUUUGAUAAUUCAAAAACUUUUUGUACUAAUGAAUCUAUUAUAUCAAUUGAAAAACAAGUAUGGACAUCACUAGGAUACCUCAUUGCUUCAAAGAUGUUGAAGCGAAUAAUCUCACCAUCAAACUCCAUUGUCAAUGUACCAUCAUGCACGUCUAUCUUUGUACACGUAGUCCUCAUAAAUGGUCUUCCCAAGAGCAACGGUGACGAAGAAGAUGUUGGUUCAUCUUGCAUGUUAAGAACAUAGAAAUCUGCCAAAAAAUCAAUUGAUUUACCUGCACCAAAACAUCUGCCAACACACCCUUUGGAAAUGCAUUAGAUCUAUCACCAAGUUGAAUAAUAACACUGGUUUCUUUAAGUGAUCCUAGAUUUAAGAAAGCAUAAAUAGAAUAUGACAUGACAUUAAUAGAUGCUCCUAAAUCUAGCAUUGCCUUUUCAAACCUAGUGUUACCAAUAAUGCAAGGGAUGGUAAAACUUUCAGGGUCCUUACAUUUUGGUGGAAGUUUUUUUUGCAAGACCGCUGAGACAUUUUCCCCUACACUUACCACUUCAUUACCUUUCAAUCUAUGCUUUUUAGUGCACAAAUCCUUGAGGAACUUUGCAUAACGAGGGACUUGAUAAAUUGCAUCCAAAAGUGGUAUGUUCACUUGAACCUUGCGAAAAGUCUCUAAGAUUUCUUUCUCAUGUUCAUCCUUUUUGGACUUUGCAAACCUGCCAAGAAAUGGAAGGGAGGGAACAUAAGCAGGAAUAGAACUUUUAGAUCCUACCUUAGAUCCCGCAGUUAUAGUCGUAGCUUCAUCUUUUUCACAUGCUAAGUUCUUCUUUUGCGUUGACUUCUUAACUUGAUCUUUCAUUUUCUUUGGUGCCUCUUCCAAAAUUUUCCCACUUCUUAGUGUCAUGGCACUAGCAUUUUCUCUAGGGUUGAUUGCUUGAGAAUGAAGUUUUCCCGAUCCUUGAACCUCCAAUUUACCCAUCUUUUUGGCUAAUUGACCCAUUUGUGUCUCCAAAUUCUUAAUUGAUGUCUUUGUCUCUUGUUGAAAUUGUAUUGUACUAGAAGCCAAAGACUUAAUCAUAUCCUCAAGAGGCAUCUUUGAACUUUGGGGUGGAGUUUGUUGACGAGGUUGUGGGUAUUGUGGUUGCCUUUGUUGAUUAAACCCCGGGGGAUGAUUAAACUGCGAUCGUGGAGCUAUGAAAUGAUUUCCUCCAUAACUGAGAUUAGGAUGAUCUCUAAAUCCAGGAUUAUAUGUGUUAACAUAUGGAUCAUAUCUCUAUCUCUGUUGCACUGGAAAUCCCCCAAUGGCAUUCGCUUGCUCCAAGGCUCCUUCUUGCAGUGUCGGACAUGCCUCAGUAGGAUGUCCUACAAUAGAACAAAUCCCGCACACUUUUACUUGUUGCAUUGUCCCAAGUGCCAUUUGUUGCACAAGCGAUGUAAGACCGACUAAUUGUCGUUUAAUUUGAGAGGUUGCUCCUACCUCACUUACUUGUUUUACCGGUGCCGCUUCUCUACUACCAAAUUGUUGUGAGUUUGCGACCAUGUUGGCUAUCAAAUUCCUAGCAACUAUCGUUGUUUUAUCCAUUAAAGCUCCUCCACUGUCCGUAUCAAUAUACUUCUCUCCAUCGGAAGCAAUCCUUCGUAGAAAUAUUGUAGAAGUAAUUGCUCACUGAUUUGGUGAUUUGGGUAACUAGCACAUAGCCUUUUGAAUAUCUCCCAAUACUCAUAGAGAUUUUUCCCUUGAGAUUGUUGAAGGCUGCAGAUUUCUUUCCUGAUGUUUGUAGCCUUUGAAGCUGGGAAAUACCCCUCCAAAAAGAGCUUUUGCAUUUCAUUCCACGUGGUAAUAAGAUCGACCGACAAAUAAUAGAGCCAUUUCUCAGCAAUGUCUGCAAGAGAGAAAAGGAAUGCACGCAAUUUCACUUGCUCUUCCGAUAUACCCGACAAUUUCAUGCUUGAGCAAACUACAUAAAACUCUUUCAAAUGCUUAUUUCGAUCAUCUCCGACGAAUCCAUGAAAUGUGGGAAGUAGAUGAAUGAUCCCGAACUUUAGUUCAAAUCCCACAUCCACUUGGGGAUAUUGAACGUUGUUGAACAAAAGUUGGAGCUGCAAGUUCCUUUAAGGUUCGAUUUGCAUCUGCCAUUUUCGGGCUCUAUGUGGUCAGAGUCACUUGAGGAUUUAUUGCUCAAUCGCCUUAGAUGUCUAGUUGGAGAAAUGUCUUCUCCACUUCUCGAUGUGUCGGUCUCUUUUCUUGAUCUUAGGUUAUAGUAUGUUAUAGGCUUUUUGCUCAUUCAUAACCCAAAUGACAAAGAAAAUAACAAAAAUCAAUAGAAAAACAACAAAAUGAAAAAUAUUGCAAUUAACAAAUUGAUAAAACAAUCCCCGACGACACUGCGCCAAAAUUAAUACAUUACAAAUUACAUUCCAAUUAAUUUUUCUUGCUUAACUUAAACGUGUCAUCUUAAAUAGUAUUAUGGCAAGUAAGGGUAAUUUCCCGCAGAUGAUUGAUUCAAUUAUAUUAAUUCGCACUAAAAAAUAAAAUUAAUAAUAAUAUAUGAAAUAGAUUAAAUGGGGAGUUUGGUUUGUUGAACUAAGGAAAGCGAUAAAUUUAAACUAGAAAAGACUUAAAAUUUGAAAUAAAUAAAGAAAAUGUGAUUGGGGGAUAUUUCGUCGCCACGAGAAUGAUUUUCAUAUCAAUAAUCGCAAAAGAUUUUCGUUCUCAAGAUUAAUAAUAAUUCGAGAAUAAUUUCAAGCUCAAUUACCUCAAUCUCUUCUUACAUGUUAGUCGAAUAAAACAAGCUCUUUACUCAACCCUAUUCAUUAAACAAUCUAGAACAAGCUCUCUAGAUUUAAUUUAAGAAAUGCAUUACGACAAAAAGAGAUGAAUUGAAUUAAGGGUAAACUCGCAAGCUCGGUUUACUAACUUAAUUGUUAUCCACAUACAUUCAAUUGAAAAUUAUUCGUAAUCUAUUGAAAUGUAAUUGCUACUAGAUUUUAGAAUCAAUAGCUAUUACGUAUUACUAAUCCCAAAAUAGCAUUCAUCGAAACAACUUAAUCAUUUAGUUGUACACCUAAACAAUCAAGAAGAACAAAAGAAACAUUUAACACAAUGGAUUAAACACAUUAAUCAAGAGAAUUAUAAAGUACAAAUUAAUUGAAAAUCAUAACUCGAGUUUGAAAUAAUCCUCAAUCACAAAUAUAAUUAGUUACUCAUGAAAUAUUCACAAAUAACAAACAAUUUCUUACAAAGUAUUGAUGGAAAAAGUGAAAAGAAAAACUUAUUGAUAAAGAGAGAAAUGGUAGAAAAUCCUCAAAUAUCAAUGGGUCAUCUUCUCCAAACUAAUGUACCAUCUCCAUAUUCCAAUCUUCCCCAAAAUGUUUAAGAAAAUAUAGGUGAAAGGAAAAAGAAAAAGAAAUAAAACAAAAGGCAAGAAGAAGAAGAAAAACCAGCUACUUCCCCAGAGUUCCAAGAAUGAAAAUAUUGUGUUUGGUCGAAUGUUUUAACCUAAAAUCUAAAGGAAAUUGCAGCAUUGGUCCCUGAAAUUUUGAAAACAAUUAAAAACGGCCCGGGUGGCGCCUGGGCGCCCUAGUUUCUGUUUUCUGUUCGGUGCCCAGUCGUCUGAAUUUUUAUUUUUACUUUAAUAGAAACAUCUUCUUUCAAUGUCUUCAUGCUUCCUUUAUCACGGCGCCCAACUCGGUGAAUUUUUUUUUAAUAAAAACAUCAUCUUUCAACGUCUUCUUGCUUCUUUUAUCUUUUUCAUCUUUUCUCGCAUUAGUACCUUCAAAUCAUCGUUCGAAGUCGGGUUUUCGCCUAUAGAAUAAAAAUAACUAAAUUAAAUAAUAAAUCGCUAAUGAAACUCAUAAACAUCUAAGUUUAAUGACUCGAAAUAGUGCAAAAACCCGCACUUAUCAAUUAGAGUGCCUCGCUUGAUAUUAUCAAGAUUUUUUUAAGGGUGUGUUUGCUUACAUUUAUUUUUUUAUGAAAAACAUCAGUUUGUCACUCAAAUUCCUACUUAGGGUGUUUGAUUGCUAUUUUUUUCAUGGAAAACAUUUUUCAACUUUUGAAAAUAUGCCUAAUUUUCUUUGUUUUUAAGAAAAAUAUUUUUCUUGGGUGGAGGUAGUUUUUGUUUUCCUCAAAAGAAAGAAAACCUUUUUUUUAGGUGAUAUUUUUCAUGUUAAUUAAACGUACUUUAAUAGUUUUUUAGUAUUUGAAUUUUGGAAGUCUUACUUAAAUUACCAUACAUACCCUUUAAUAAGAUUCUUUUAGCUACAUCAUACAAAUGUCAUGUCUUAACUACAUGUUUGAAUCCAAAUUCCAACUUACUCUUUCACUUGAUUGAGGGAGAAAAUUGAGCUCCUAUUUGUCACCCAUUAUUUUGAAAAUUAAAGAGUAUUGAAUAGUAUUUUUUAGAGAAUGUGUGGUUAAAAAGUAAAUAAAAUUUAUUGAUUUGUAUGUAAAAUAUUUUAUUGUAUGAAUACGUGGGGAAUAAUGAUAUUAUAACAAAUAAUUUAAAAUUUUAAAGAGUGACAAACAGGCUCUGAACUGUGAAGUUGCGAUUUUUUUCGUUUUGUUGUUUGACGCUAUGUAUUAACUAGCAUAUGGGAUCAAUGAAAGUCGAAAAUGCGUCAUAGUUCGAUACAAUUUGAUUUUUGUAGACAUUAUGCGGAGGUAAAAUUUGAAGUAAAUUAAGAUUGAUUGAUUUAAUUAGAUGGUCCAAAUUAUAAUUUGCCCUAAAUAAAGGGUUCGAAUGCAAAAUGAGUGAAUUAGGAAGGCAAAUCUUUAAAUUGGAGGAACUUUUGGAGAAAAGAACAAAAAACCUAAAAAUAUUUGAGUGCUUUAUGCGCCCUGCUUGGCCUCCUUUCAAAAAAUGGAUAGAAUAAUUUUUUUUUUUUUAAAUGAGUGAUUGAAAAAGGAAGAAUUUUUUUGAUUAUUUGUAAUAUUAUUUUAUGGAAGAUCAUGUGGUUAAAAAUAAGAGAGAGGAAAAUGAAAUAUAAUUUAAUAGGGCUAUAUGAACAAAUUGAAAAUUAUGGUCUAAAUUCAAUAUUAUCUGUAAAGUAUGGGUCUGAAAUACAAAAUUUCCGUCCCUUCUCAUUCUUUCAUCCCUCAUUGGUCACACUCCAUGUUCUUGGCCUCUACCCAUUCUUGGAAUGAUUUCCACUCGCACUGAGCAGUGAUUCAUUAUUUCACCAAAAUACUGCAAAAUCAUGAAACUGUAUGCCAUUCUGUUGUUCCUUUUUUUCAUUAAUUCUGUUUUUUCUUGGAAAAAAGAUGAGUUCAGAAACUGCAAUCAGACCCCAUUCUGCAAACGUGCCCGAUCCCGGAAACCCGGCGCGUGCUCUCUCAUCGCGACCGAUGUCUCGAUUUCCGAUGGAGAUCUUACAGCGAAACUCAUCCCCAAAGAUAAGGUUCAAGAAAAUCUUGAUAAUCAAGAAAUUCCUAUUGUUAAGCCUUUGGUUCUCGCAAUAUCUGCAUACCAAGAUGGUGUCUUGAGGCUCAAGAUUGAUGAGGACCAGAGUUUAAGCCCACGCAAGAAGAGGUUUGAGGUGCCUGAUGUGAUUGUGCCAGAAUUUUUGAACAAAAAGCUGUGGUUACAGAAGUUAAAAUCUGAGAAAAGUGAAGAUGGGUUGGGUAUCUUGUCUGUUAUUUAUCUUUUUGAUGGGUAUGAGGGGGUGAUUCGGCAUGACCCCUUUGAGGUUUUUGUGAGGGAGAGUGGCAAAAAUGGGAAAAAGGUGUUGUCUUUGAACUCAAAUGGUUUGUUUGAUUUUGAACAGCUGAGGGAGAAAAAAGAAGAAAAUGAGGAUUGGGAGGAGAGGUUUAGGAGUCACACUGAUACGCGGCCGUAUGGGCCUCAGAGUAUUAGCUUUGAUGUAGCAUUCUAUGAUGCGGAUUUUGUUUAUGGCAUUCCGGAACAUGCCACUAGUUUAGCCUUAAAGCCAACUAGAGGGCCUGGAGUGGAGGAUUCUGAGCCAUACCGGCUUUUUAACCUUGAUGUGUUUGAAUAUAUUGCUGACUCGCCUUUUGGGCUUUAUGGUUCCAUACCCUUCAUGAUCUCCCAUGGGAAGUCGCGUGGGAGCUCUGGGUUUUUCUGGUUGAAUGCUGCGGAAAUGCAGAUUGAUGUUCUGGGGACUGGUUGGAAUGAUGAGUUUUCUUCUGUUUUAAUGUUGCCUUCAGAUCAAAAGAGGGUAGAUACAUUGUGGAUGAGCGAGGCUGGUGUGGUGGAUGCAUUCUUUUUUGUUGGUCCAGGGCCGAAAGAUGUGGUUAGGCAGUAUGCUAGUGUAACUGGAACGCCAGCAAUGCCACAGUUGUUUGCUAUUGCUUACCAUCAGUGUAGGUGGAAUUAUAGGGAUGAAGAGGACGUUUACAAUGUAGAUGCCAAAUUUGAUGAGCAUGACAUCCCAUAUGAUGUUUUGUGGCUUGAUAUCGAGCAUACGGAUGGGAAAAGGUAUUUUACGUGGGAUAGGCUGCUGUUCCCUAAUCCUGAAGAGAUGCAGAAGAAGUUGGCUGCAAAGGGUAGGCAUAUGGUCACUAUUGUGGACCCUCACAUUAAGAGGGACGAAUCUUACUAUAUACACAAGGAGGCGUCUCAAAAGGGAUAUUAUGUAAGGGAUGCAACUGGGAAGGAUUUUGACGGGUGGUGCUGGCCAGGUUCAUCAUCAUACUUGGAUGUGGCGAAUCCUGAGAUUAGGUCUUGGUGGGCUGAAAAAUUCUCCUAUGAGAAUUAUGUUGGUUCAACUCCGUCCUUGUACAUCUGGAAUGACAUGAAUGAACCUUCUGUCUUCAAUGGUCCAGAGGUAUGCCAUUUCAUUUUGAUCCUUGAUACUACUUGUUUCAGUUUGCUAGGAAAUGUAUCCAUUGGUUGCCUUUCUUUGUACGAAAAGAAAAAUCAGUUUUAUUUUGUCUGCCACAUAUAUGAUAGUUUAUUUGGUAUGCUGAUUGAAUGAUGGUCUCUUGUGCAUACCUCUUAGUUAAACUUAAGGCUCAGGACUUGACACAGAUUGUCUAAACAAAAAGCAACAUAAGUCCACUGACUGCCUAAUUGUCACUAUGUAUGGCUAAAAUAAUAUCAAUUAUUAUGCAAUAUUUCCAUCGCAAAAGAAAUGAAUCAUGAAAAUUAGCACUUUCUUUGAUAGAGAGCAUGCUUCUCUCUCUCUCUCUCUCUCUCUCUCUUCCAUGUGUGCCUAGGUUGGGGAUUUCAAUCCCUACCUCGUUGAUAGAGAACGUGCUGACAUUCAAAACUGUCAGAAGGUGGGAAUCUUAAAUCAUCUUUUUAGUGCAGUUCUUGAGAUUUUUUCUGCUGAAAUAUAUCUCCCUGUUUGGGUUAAUGCCUGGCAGAUGUAUGGUGUCUGGCAUGGGCAGGGAAGCAGGACCCCAAGGUUCCGAAAUUUUGAAUUUUUUCCCCUUUCAAAAUUGAAAUUUCAAAAGAUCUUCUAAUAGAAGUACUGUUCACCUGCCAAAUAGUGUGAAAAUCCUGAGUUCCCUUCAAUAUAAAUCUAUGGUUUCCAUAUCCUGGAUCCCCACUGGUUAAGAUUCUUUUGUUGUAAUCAGGUCUCAAUGCCCAGAGAUGCUUUACAUCAUGAUGAUGUUGAGCACAGAGAGUUGCAUAAUGCCUAUGGUUACUACUUUCACAUGGCUACUUCAGAUGGGCUGGUUAAACGAGGAGAUGGAAAAGACAGGCCAUUUGUUUUGUCAAGAGCCAUUUUCCCUGGAAGUCAAAGAUAUGGAGCAAUCUGGACAGGGGAUAACUCUGCUGAAUGGGAUCACCUGAGAGUUUCUGUUCCGAUGGUUUUGACUCUUGGUCUUACUGGGAUAUCAUUCUCUGGUCUGUGAAAUUUCCUCUACUUACAAUUACCUCUACCCAUACGAAUCUUUUCAAUUCUGAUGAUACUAGAUCAACAGGUGCUGAUGUUGGUGGGUUUUUUGGUAAUCCUGAUACCGAGUUGUUGGUCCGCUGGUAUCAAGUGGGAGCGUACUAUCCCUUCUUUAGGGGACAUGCUCAUCAUGACACUAAAAGACGGGAACCUUGGCUGUUCGGGUAUGAGAUUUGGCUCUCUUAUAAAAAUAGGUGCUAUUUGAGGCAUAUAUUAUUAGCUUGUAUUUGGAUGCAGUUUCAUAUUGUCUGCUUUCAAAUUUUAUUCAUCAUGAAAGUUGUCUCACUCUUGCAUCAGAUCUAGUAAUUUUUUUCCGAUCCCGUUCCCAUAAAAAAGUCCGUGUUUUCCCAUCAUUCUUCAGUUGCAUUAAUAUUUAUAGAUUUUUGACUGCAUAGUCACAUAUUUUUCAGCAUCAUGUCUUAGACCCAUCUUGUAGUUGUGUUUGUGAAAUAGCCAAGUCAUUAUUUUGAGCUUGUCUGUGAAAAUUGUCUACUGUUACAUCAGAUCUAGUAUUUUUAUGCCCAUAUCUUUCCAUAUAAGAAUCUGCAUUUUCCACGGUUCUUUAGUUGAUCUAUAUUAAUGAAAUUUUGAAUGCAUUCUUGUCUGUUUCAUAUCUUCGAGCCCUCUUGCUGUAAAGUUUGUGAAAUACCAUGUUUAAGCUUUUUGGAACAUGCAACCCAUAUAUGCUUGUACUUAUAAUUUCAUCACUAAAUAGAUUAGCUCCAGCAUUCGCGUUGUAAGGAUUAAAGCCAAUAUAGUGCAUGAGGUUAAAGUGAUAUGCUUGAAUUUAAAAUGUUGAUAAUUUGAGUGUGAAUGUAACCUUUUACUAAUUUGAAAUUAGGAGAAAUAACAACUUUUUAAAAUUCUUUAGGUUAUAUCGGCUUAAUCAUCUUUCUGCUGGAUCAUGAUGUUGAAAAGGGGUAGUUAUCAUAGUGGAACAUCAAAAGGUAGUAUAUCUUGCUUGAACCUUAUUAAAAAUCUAACCUUUCUUCCUGCGACCUGAUUACAUGGUUUCAAAAGCUUGCUAAGAAUCAACAGUCCUGCUUGUAAAGAAUAAAAAAAUAAUUCUGCUCGACAUACGAAUAAAAUCCUUAAACAAUCACUUUAUUAAUACAUAAAAGUUUUCAAAAGGAAAAGAAAAUUUCGAAACAACAUAUUAAAUCUUAAAAUCUUCACAACCAAAAUAAUUUGAUCAUCAAAACAUAAAUAAAUCUUACAUAACUUUAUUAAAAUGUUUAUUAUCCACCAUUGGGUGCUUGUCCAAUCUUCAUCCAUCUCAAACACAGUUAAUUAUUACUUAAAAAAAUUUCAUGAUUCAUAUGAGAUGAUGAUCUCAAUAAGUGAAAUAGCAUGAUAUGAAUAAUAGAAGUCCAUGCAAUUCUUGAACAUACUUGAUAAGACACGAAAUUAAUAAAAACCGAACUUCGUGGUUCUAAUUUCGUGCGUAGCGUUACUAAACUCCAUGACUUCAUAACAUAAUCAUAAUAUCGAAUUGUAUAGUUUUAAACAAUGAAAAUACAUGUAUUUCACUUACCUCGAAUUUGAUGAUCCUAUUAGCACGUAGGAGAAUUAAUCAUUUUAAUUACGGUAUGUUAAUUACCUUUUUGGUUUUUGGUAAGAUUGAAUAAGAAAAGGAAAGUCUCCUUAAUUGAAUCCUUCAUUUAUGGUAGUUAACAUAUAUGUACAUAAUAUAUAUGGUAAUUACCUUUUCGGUUUUUGGUAUAAUUAAAUAAAAAGGAAAGUUUCCUUAGCCCUUGUUUGGUCCCCAUUACGUGGAAAAAUUAAUGUGUAGAAUAGUGUUUUUUGAAAAAUGAGUGGUUGAAAAGGAAGGAAAAUUUUUCGAUUUACGUGUAAUAUUAUUUUAUGGAAGAUUGUGAGGUUGAAAAUAGGAGAGAGAAAAAUGAAAUGUAAUGUAACGAAAAUUAAUGAGGCUCAAAUGGGGACUUAAUUAUUUCUUUUAAUUAUGGUAGUUAAAAUAUGUACAGAUUAUAUAUGGUAAUUACCUAAAUUUGCAUUCAAUUAUUCCUUACCAUGAUAAAAACAUGCAAUAAUUAUUUCUUACCAUGUACGUGGAUGCUACAUAUAUAUGCCAUAGUCCCUCAACUAUGGACAGGUAUAAAACUUGACCUCCAAACUUUCACAAAUAUUCGAUACGAUCCCUAAAUUAUAGUUGAUGUGUAAUUUGUCCCUGAACCUUAAUCUCUAUAUAAAUUGGUCCUUAAACUAUGGUUAUUGAGCAAUUUGGUCCCUAUACUUACGUUAAUGACAUUUAGAGAAUUUUAGUUUAUUAUACUGCUUCUCCUGGAAAUAUCAACUACAUCCUUUUUUUUCUUCAGCCUAAUCAUAACCUAAACAGCCACUACAAAUCCAAACUACUAUGAGCAUGAUUGGCUAAGCUUAAAAGCUUUGCCUAUUUUAAACUAAAUAAUACUUCUACGGAUCUAAAUUGGAAAUAAAUAAGUUAUUUAUUUUUACAGUAAAACAAGAUUUACUAAUUUUUAUAUAUAUGUCACCUGUGGGUGGACCUGCUAUAAAACAUCAUUUAUGGAAAUAAACCAUUUUUUUUUGGUAAUAGUUAGAUAUAUGAUUGAUGCACUCAAGAACCAUUAUCCAAAAAUUUAUCUUGUAAUUGCUUAUAAAAAUAUACUCUGUGCCAUGUGGGUCUUACAUAAAGGAACUGGAGUGGUGUGAUGGAAGUUGUAAGCUGUUUCUGGGGUAGGGUUGUUGCCUACACCUGGCAUUUAUGGUAGAACCUGUUGGGCCUGAGCAGCAAUACUUUACUCUGUGACGGAAGUCAAGUGUCCAGGUCGACUAUCCACUUGUUACCAAAUUAUAAUCUUAGUUGAUAGAGAGAACAAUAUUUCAUUAUAGUGAAAUGCAAAGUGGUCUGAACCUCAUCCAGGCAGUCUAAGAAAAGUAUGGAACAAGUCUAGGACGUGUAGAUGUCUGAUGCUUAGUUUUCACUAUGUUCUUCAUUUUCAUGCGUAAGCCUGAAGGAUGAAAAUGAAAGCCAUCCUAUCAAUUGACACAAGUUAAAAAUAGUCAUGAAAAGUUUUAAUGAUCUCUUAAUCCAAAUUCAAAUGAUGCUUAGUCAUGCAUAUCUAAUGAGUCUUGCAGUCCUGUUUUUCCCAACUCACUAGAAUUUAGUGAAGAAAGAACCCUGUUAAAUAUAAACGAUACUCAUUGAUUUCUUGAAGUAGCAAACUUGCGACGCAUGGAAAGAUGGAAGCACAUCAUUUUUCUGCCAGUUUGCACGAACAUGUUGUUGACAUCUGGGAUAGGUUCUUAUAAAGUUCACACAGUACAUUAGUAUCAAAUAUCAAUCUGCUUUGCCAUCUAGCUUAAUAUGAAAGCCUUUACCUUUAAUGAGGACAUUGGAUCACUGGCUAACAGAAUUCAAAGAAAAGAGAGAAAUCUUGAUAAGACUAUAAGAUAGGAGGAAUUGCAUGAGGGCAUAUUGGGACGCUCUGCAGUCGAAUCACUUGUAUAUAUUCUCUACUAUUAGUUCUAUUUUUUCAUCUGCUCUAUGGCAAUUGAUUAAUUUGUUAUUAGUUCACCAAAAAUGCAUUAUUAUAGUAAAAUAUGUUCUUCAUUUCCAUGCAUAGGAAGUAUAUUAAUAUUGAAAUGUUUUGUUACAUGGUCAAAAUCUUCUUCCAUUGAUUUACAUCAAAAGCUAUAAAUCUAAUGAUAUUAUUUGCAAUAAUAAUGAGAACUUCUGAUGAGAUUCGGUGAAAUGUUGAAAUUUUCUUCAACAUUUUUGUGCACGCGCUUUAGAUCUAUGAUAAAAAUAUAAUGUUGGGAUGAUAUCCCUCAUUCUUUGGUGAUCUUAUUAUCCUCUCCAAGGUUCAGAGCUACAAAUUAUACGCUUUCCUUUCUGUCUUGUGUAUGAGGUGAAAUGUUGAAAUUUUCUUCAACAUUUUUGUGCAUACGCUUUAGAUCUAUGAUAAAAAUAUAAUGUUGGGAUGAUAUCCCUCAUUCUUUGGUGAUCUUAUUAUCCUCUCUAAGGUUCAGAGCUACAAAUUAUACGCUUCCCUUUCUGUCCUGUGUAUGAUAUAACAGUAUCUGGUUUAUGUUGGUUUCAGAGAACGCAAUACACAGCUAAUGAGGGAAGCCAUACAUACCCGCUAUAUGUUUCUCCCUUAUUUCUACACAUUAUUUAGAGAGGCGAACAUGAGUGGUGUUCCUGUUGUGCGUCCACUAUGGAUGGAGUUUCCAGAUGAUGAACAAACUUUCAGCAAUGAUGAGGCGUUCUUGGUUGGUAACAGUCUCUUGGUGCAAGGAAUAUAUACUGAGGUGCCAUUCUUAUUUUGUCCUUGGUAUCGUUGUUUGCUUCAUUCUAUAGUCUCUAAUUUUCUUUCUGUUAUCAUGAAACAUUCCAAUUGGAAACUUCUCAUAGAAAGCUAAGCACAUAUCCGUGUAUCUUCCUGGAGAUCAGUCAUGGUACGACGUUAGAACCGGAACUGCAUACAAGGGAGGAGUGACUCACAAGUUGGAAGCUUCUGAAGAUAGUGUUCCUGCUUUCCAACGGGCUGGUACAAUUUUACCAAGGAAAGACAGGUUUCGUCGGAGUUCCACACAAAUGGAGAAUGAUCCAUACACUCUGGUAUGCCUUUAAAUCUUUAAGUGGAUCUGUCGUGAAUUCUUAUGGUUACAUCACUUCCUUCUCUUUCUCUCUGUCUCUCUUUCUCACACACGCUCACAAGUGCACAUGCUAAGGUGCCUAUCUAUAUCAAGAGAUCCAUCUAUGAGUUCUCAUAAUCUGACUAAUCUUCAUAUUACUUACAUAUAAUUGGUUAGAUAAAUUUUUCUCCAUUAAAUAUAUAGUUUUUUUUUCUUAUUUUACCCACAGGUACUAUUUUUACACCAAUUUAGCCACUAUACUUGCUUGUAUUGACUUCCAUCCACAUUGGCCGUCAAAGGUCAAUAGUAGUAAACACACAUGAUUCCUCUACUACAGAAUUGGAAAUUUGUUUUUAGAUGAUCUUCCUCAAGUCAAUCAUAGCACUGGAUUCUGUUAUAUCCCAAUUUGAAGCGUUUGUAUUUGCUUUUGACACCUUAUAAUUAUUAUAGAAGAACUCAAUUCAAUCCAAUUGUGUUGUCUCAGAUUUGUCUGGGGUCAGCAUUAAAAGAAAAUAUUAUCAAGCCAAUUUAUACAUUACCUGAUGUAAUGACUUCUUUAUCCCAGUGGAGUCAUGUUGUGGGGAUGAAACUUAGCUUCCGCCAGUGUCAUGUUCUCUUGAGCUUUACUGUAUCAUUUUGAAGGUCUUUGGAGAAGAGAAGGCAUCAAUAAAUAAUUUUUUUGGAAGUUUAGAUUUCACAGAUAUAUCAGCAAAUGAUGAGGAAUUUGUUCGCUAAAUUUGAAAAUACUUUCAUUUCUGUGUCGCGGCAUUGUGGAUAUCACAUUCAUUUUAUAGCUUUGAAUGAUUGCAAAAAGAGGACCAAAUUCAUUUAGCUCAGCGUCCUCUACGAUUUAUUAAUACACCAUGUGUGAAGUCCCAAAUUUUUACAACUAGUUAGAAUUAAAGUUAGGAUUUAAGUGCGCUAUUAUUAAAGUUUAAUGACCUUAUUGAUUUAUUGUUCUAGUCUAAUGACCUUAUUAGUUAUUGACCAAUAGUUUGAGGGCCUAAGUAGAAAGUUAUUUUGAAAGUUAGAUGAAAUCAUGUAUAAAACAUAUGUAAAUAUGCCAAUCGGUCUUGAUUAAAAAUGAUUUAUUGACAACAUGUAUUAUUCACACCAUAUUUCAAGCCAAUGUAAUUUAUUUGACCAUGUAAAUAAAUGAAAUUGAUUUGACCACACGCAUUAUUUACACCAAGUUUUACGCUAGGUGAAUUUGUUUGACUACAUGAUUAAAAGUAUUGAUUUGACAAUUUUCAUGAUUAUACAUCAUUUAUGUAUUGAUCAUGCCUAACAUUUAGCCAUUUCCUUUCUCUUUCCUACUAUUGUUCAAGAAUUUUCACUAUAAAUAGGAGACAAACCCAACACUAAACUACCCUUCAACAACUAUUGCACACUCUCUCUACAUCCCUAUAACUUUGUCUCUCCACUCCCGCUCUUUCUCCUGUCAUUUUUAUAUUAAAUAUAGUCGUAUAUUUAUACAAUCAGACAUAAAUAAUCACCCCCACAUGCGGCUCAAGGAUUUCUUUUCAACAAAUAACUCACUUUAUCUUUUUGAAUUGUCCAUUGAAAAGGUAAGUUGUACUUUAUGCUUAUGGUGGCUAAUGUUUAUGAUGUAAUAUUUCUACGGCUAUGUUACCAUGAGUAGCCUUGACAUUGAAAUGAACUUUCAAUGAUUCAAGUUUCUGUUCUUUGCAGGUCAUUGCUCUUAACGGUUCCCAGGCAGCUGAAGGGUGGCUUUAUGUUGACGACGGGAAGAGCUUUGAAUUCCAGCGAGGAGCAUAUAUCCAUCGCCAUUUCAUUUACUCUGAUGGAAAGCUUUCAUCAUAUUCAAACAUGGCCUCUGCAGGUUUUGGCAAAUUUGCCUCCGAGUGCAUGGUUGAGAGAAUAAUACUUCUAGGAUUUUCUCCUGGAACGAAAAAAGCCUUAAUUGAACCAGCUAAUGAAAAGGUGGAUAUCGAACUCGGGCCCCUCCUGCUUCAAGGGGGACUGGGCUCAUCUGUUCUCACCAUCCGCAAGCCUAAUGUGCGGGUAACAGAUGAUUGGACAAUUAAAAUUUUGUAAGAUACUUCUUAGUCCAACAUAGUCAUCUGCAUCAGGUGGAAGGACCUUGUUAGUAUCAUGCUAUUGAAUUGAUAAAUGAAAUUUUCGGCCGCACAUUAAGUGAGAGAACGACCUUUUGGAGCAAUAUAGAUUAGUAGGCAAUAUAGAUUCUGUAUGCUACAACUUAUUCCUUAUUUCCUAUUUGCAGUUUUGAAUUUUGUGUUGGGUUGCAGUUCUUGGUGCUGGAAAAUUGAUUCACGCUCACUAAAUAUGUUGCAAGUGAUUGUGCAAAUUGAGUUUAAUAAUCAUGCAGGAACUAAAAUCUACAUAGCUUCAUUCCAGGCUAUAUAUUGUUAUAACUUGAUAGGGUGCAUUUCUCCUUUAAAACUGACUUAUAGAGGAGUGUUCAAGGUAUUAUUAGCCCACAAGUUGAUUAUGUGGGACAAAAUUAGAUCAACUCUCUUCUGAAAAUUGAUCCAUUGUGGUCUAUGCUGUUAACUAGUUGAUUUUUUGAACCAGUUGGACAACCCUUUUCAUGUUGUUCUGUCUGCAGCGAGUGUCAUCCCUACAAGGGUGUGUAGGAGUAAAAAUUACAGUCAUUACAUGAAAGAACAAAGGUUACAAAGCUAAGGCAAAAUCACCAUUACGAGGAAACUACAAGCCUGAUAUUAGGAAGUAAAAAUGCUUAAGAAAGGAAGGAAAGGUAUUAUGAAUAGUAAAACUGAUCACUUGGUGUUACUGUAUUUCCUUUGUGGUUGGUGGGCCGAGGUAGAAAAAGAGUGGUUAUGAAGGAAUGUAAGAGAAAAACAAAUCACACGAGAUAUCCACCAGUCUUUCUUCUCCUGUAUCUGUUUCUUCUAUUUCAUAAAGCCCGAGACUGAGCAAUGAUAGGUUCUACACCAAUUAAUGGCUCCUAUCAUCAUUAUUUAGACUCUCUUUUGAGGCUGUAAACUGUUGUAAAGAUUUGAAUUUAUAUUAUUAUAUUCUAAGUGUGUGGAUUAUUUUGUUUACUUUGUGCAAAUUGUAUAGUUGGUGUUUAAAGGAAUAACCUUUGUUAUAAAUUGUGAACUUAAUGAUACUCCAUUGACCCUGUGUGAGUGUGUGUGGCCAACGUUGAAAAGGUAUAUGGAUUUUAUUUUAGUCCACUUUGUGAGGUAUUGAACUAUCUUGUGCUAAUGAUACUGGCGCUUUAGUCCCUAUUUUAUUUUUUAAAUAGAUUUCUCUCGUUUCCACCGUGAGCUCGAGUUUUGAUUAUUUAUAGUCUAUUCUUGCCGAUCUUGAAUAUGCAUAAAUGUAUCCCAAAAACUAACAGCAUUCAUUGAAUAAUCAUAGUCAAGCCUUUAAUUUCAUCUUAAUAAUGCUAUCUAACACCAGUUUAGGUGGUACUAUAUGAUAGACUCAAUGAAAGGUGAAAUUGAGUGACACAUUUAAUUGUACUUAUUAUUAGUAUCACAGUAGUGUCACAUAAAUUGGUGUCUUAACACCAAAUGUCCUAAAUAGCACACUCAUUUCAUCUAGUCUAUCCGGUCGGGUAAAAUAAUUAUAUUGUAACAGUUCAUUUAAACCUCAGAGUUUCAUAUGUUGGGAAAUAUCAUAACUUGAUCUGGUUAUGUAUCCACGUAGUUGAAAGUUGGAACCUCUGGUUGCAGGUAUAUUUGUGUACAGCCAGGUGAAAGAACAACCAGUGAAAGUGGUUUCUUUAAGGGGUUUGACUUCCUAAUUGAGUGGUGGGUCAUCCAUGCAGCAUAACCUAAAUAUUCCUUAAUUUUUUGGCAAUCAGCUAUUAACCUGCCCACAUUCACAAUUCAAUUGUGAACUUCCAAUUCAACAACUGAAUGAUGAAAAUUGGUUAAAUCAUGCAAGAAGAUGAAGUCCUAAGUUACUAUCAGAAUCAAUGUGGACCUUCCUCAGUGCUAAAAGGUGACGACUCACUGCAAAUUCGGACCAAAAAUCACUGGUUAAUACGAAAACAAUCAAAUGCUUUUUGAAUGAAUCGAGAACCAUUUGAAAUAAGAAUGCCGUCUAAUAUUUUCGAGUGCAACACUAUUUAGCAUUGCUUACCAAAUAUGCACAUUAAUUUUGACCGUACUUCAUAAAUUGUAUAUAAAGAUUCAUUAAUAAUCUAAGGUAUGACUCAAAAGCAUCAAUUCUCUUUCAAUAGGAAUGGAUGGGAGGCUUGCAUGUCUAAAUGCAGUACAAAGUAUACUUUACUUAAGAUACAAUAAGAUUUUAUAACUUAUAAGCAGUGGUUUAAAGUCAAUUUUCUCUCUAUAUAAGCCUCAGGCAAACACUGUAUCAAGUAACACCCUCUUUGUACAUAGUUUCGUUCCUCAGAUUUUGAGGGAGAGGGCAAAAUAUUUGCAAAACCACUAAUAAUUCAGUUAUAUUUCAGACCUUUUCUGUUUUCUUUUAAUGUUACUUGUAAUGUGGACUCUUCGUUCAACACAAACGCUCCAAACACUCGACUCAUGCAUGUGUUGAAAGGCCUAAUCUUCUGUAUUGAAAACGACGUCUGUCCAUGGCAAGUUGAUUACUAUGCUUAGUAGGCAAAAGUAGUCUGCAUUGUACAAAUCGGUUAGUCUUCGACCUGAUUGAUGGGGAGUGAAGAUGAAUGUGCGGGUGUGUAAGCGUUGACGUUGAUAAAUGUUCUUCAUUGUUGUGAUUAAAUGCUUGAAGAUUUUGUUUAGUACAAAUGACCUGUCUUUUUCUAUUGGGACCACGUUUCACGUGCUUUUACAUUUUUAGUUGUCGAAAUUUGUCAAAAACUGUUAUAUAUACCACCCUCAAACCUUUACCCUAUGCAUCUUAAAUUUAGCCAUUGCAAUCCUGUUCAGGAGUAGCAUUUAUGGUCUUGAAAUAGUUGGUAACAAGUCUUCUGAUAUAAACUCUCUGGUAUUUUGUACUGAUAAAACUAUUCUUCAAUAUAUUGUUCUUGCAAGUUCUUUCCAACAUAGUUUGUGUUAUUGCUGUCAAAAAAAUCCUGCAGCAAGAAUUUACAAAACUCGAACUCAUUGACUGAUAGAAGUGUGUACUUCUGGCUUCCUUCGAAAUACAAGAUGGGAGAGAGUGCUGCCACCAAUAACCACCGCCAGCACGGCCAAGCAUUUGACAUUUCUGUCGACGUGCCACCACAUUUUAGCUCCAAGGCUAUUGAUGAUGAUGGUCGACCCCAAAGAACUGGUACAUAUCCCUCAACAUCCUAUCCACCCCUUAAUAAGUAAUCAAAGAUAAUCACUAUUUAAGUCUCCUAAUGUUUAUUUCUCUCUUUGUAGGGACUGUUUGGACUGCCAGUGCACACGUAAUAACCGCGGUGAUUGGAUCCGGAGUGCUUUCCUUGGCGUGGGCUAUAGCCCAGUUGGGAUGGAUUGCCGGUCCAACCGUGAUGUUCUUAUUCGCCUUUGUGAUUUAUUACACCUCAACUCUCCUGGCUGAUUGUUACCGGUCUGGGGAUCCCCUAUUUGGCAAGAGAAACUAUACUUAUAUGGAUGCUGUUCGGUCCAAUCUUGGUACACUACUAUACCUAGAAAAUUCAUCAGUGUGACAUGAAUAGUUCUCCUAAAAGUUUGUUCAUUUUUCUUUAUUAGGCGAAUCUAAAGUAAAGUUAUGUGGCCUAAUUCAGUAUAUGAAUAUUUUUGGAGUGGCCAUUGGAUAUACAAUUGCAGCAUCUAUAAGUAUGAUGUAAGUAUAAUUCUUGAAAGAGAUUUUAUGUUUAAUCUCUUGUAGCCUUUGAAUAUAAUUUGGUAUGGCUAUUGCAAUGAGCAGGGCUAUUAAAAGAUCCAAUUGUUUCCAUGAGAGUGGAGAGAAAAAUCCAUGUCACGUAUCAAGUAAUCCAUAUAUGAUUGGAUUUGGGAUUACACAACUACUAUUUUCUCAGAUUCCUGAUUUUGAUCAAAUAUGGUGGCUCUCAAUUGUUGCUGCUGUCAUGUCCUUCACAUAUUCUUCAAUCGGAUUAGGCCUCGGAGUUGCAAAAGUUGCAGGUUCCUAUUGUUCGGUUUUGCAUAAUUCAGUGAUUCAAAAAGUUGUUUGAUUAAUUACUAAACAUGGUUAUAUUAAUUUCGUACUACACAGCUAAUGGAACCAUAGGAGGAAGUUUCACUGGAAUAAGCAUUGGAACUGUGACUCAAGCACAAAAAAUAUGGAGGAGUUUCCAAGCUCUUGGAAACAUUGCUUUUGCAUACUCAUUUUCAAUCAUCCUCAUUGAAAUUCAGGUAUUUAUUCGAAAACAUUAAGGGUAUGUUUAAUACUAUCAAGUUCACGAGAUGAGCAUUCCGUUUCUUCGUCUCAUAAUAAACAGGACACAGUCAAGUCCCCACCAUCAGAGGCAAAAACAAUGAAGAAAGCCACACUAAUAAGCACUUCUGUAACAACACUCUUCUACAUGCUGUGUGGCUGCAUGGGCUAUGCAGCAUUCGGAGAUCGUUCCCCCGGUAACCUCCUAACCGGAUUUGGAUUCUACAACCCGUAUUGGCUUCUCGACAUAGCAAACGCGGCCAUUGUAAUCCAUUUAGUCGGAGCCUACCAAGUUUACUGCCAGCCACUCUUUGCCUUCAUUGAAAAGUAUACAGCAGAAAAAUGGCCAGAAAACAAGCUCAUAGCCAAAGAUAUCAAAAUCCCAGUUCCAUUUUUCCAACCAUAUAAUCUAAACCUCUUUCGAUUAGCCUGGAGAAGUGGAUUCGUAAUUUUAACCACUGUUAUAUCAAUGCUUUUGCCUUUCUUCAAUGAUGUUGUGGGAAUUCUUGGGGCAUUUGGAUUCUGGCCAUUAACUGUGUAUUUCCCAAUAGAAAUGUAUACUGCACAGAAGAAGCUAGAGAAAUGGAGUUCAAGAUGGAUUUGCCUGCAAAUGCUGAGUGUUGCUUGUUUGAUAAUUUCAGUUGCUGCAGCAGCUGGUUCCAUUGCUGGUGUGGUGCUUGAUCUUAAGGUUUACAGGCCAUUCAAGACUAGCUAUUGAGUUGCUUGAUCUUAAGGUUUACAGGCCAUUCAAGACUAGCUACUAGAUUAUUAAUAUGUGAUUUGAUGGUGUUGUUGAUAUGUACUUUUGUUUUGAAUUUGUCUGCAAAUAAUCAGCAGCCUCAUAGUAAAAAUGGCAAUGAAUUUGACCUUUGUUCAUUCCAUAUUUAAAACAAGCAUUUGAUUUCACAUUGAAUUUUUUUAUGCUACUUAAAUUCGACAAGUGGAUCUACGUAAACAGAUUCUGUCCAAAAAAAUAAAAAAAUAAAAACAAUUUCUAACUAAUCCAUCUCAUGAUUUUUUUUUCGAAAGAUGAUUAUUAUUACCUAAAUAAAGAAACAACAUGAUUUUCGCCGAAUAUAAAUCUCCCUUUCCAAAGCUCCAGGAGAAUGUUCUCAUGAGAAAGAGUAUAAUAGUUUCAAAUGCAUUAUGAUUACUAGAUGGCUAAUAUGUUGAAUGGAAAAACAAACGGUUUUUGUCCAGUAAGGAUCCACAUAAAUUAAAGAUCAAGGGUUGGGGUUGUGGGUGCCAGAAUAAUUUAAUUCAAACUCAAAUGUUUAAUUUGUCAAAAUUUGAGGACUUUCCUUGUAAAUUUUCGAAAAAAAAAGUGGGACACACCUAAACUGCACCACUCACUCAUUAUCAUGAAUUGCAUGCAUAAAGAUAAGCUGUAAAUGAAUUUGUGUAUAUGUAGAUGCGUCAAUUUUCGUGGAUUUUUAUCUAUGAGGUAUAUAAAUUUUCGAAAGUUGUUCUUAAUCAACAAGAAGUUUUUAUUGUUAUAUUGUAUUUUUUAUAGGAUCGCAAUAAAUUCAAAUUUUUUUUUUGAUAACUUAUCAUAAUUCAAUUUAUUUGUCCUAAAUGUUAGGAAAAUGAUGACAACUUCAAUAUAUACUAUUAUAUACAAUACCUUGUUGGUAUGAAUAAAUCAAAUAUUAAAUUUAUGUCUAUUAAUUCAAUUCUUAAACAUGUCCAACUUAUCAAAAAUAUUUUAUGAAUGCUUCCUUGAGUUGGGUUAUAAAGUGUUCGAUAAAUUAUUAAAAUCAGGGCUGUGUUCCUGCGACAUGGUGGUUGGAACACGCUAUUCAAAAUUAUCAGAAACAGUUCACAACCUGCAUGGGGAGACCGCUGCACUUAAGGAUGAACAGUCCUGGCACGGAAUGCUAAUUGAAGGGGUGUCACAGCAGCUCAACAAUUUAGCAUCAAGCUAUGAUAGCCUAGUGCAAAUUACAACCAAACUCAGCUCAGGGGAAGGGACUUCAAAUAAUACAAAAACAAAUACUAAUCCUCUGUUUGAAGCAAAUGGUGGAAUCCAAGCUUGGCCCCUGUUUGAUUCCCAUUACGUAGGAAAUUUAAUGGGAGGAAUAGUGUUUUUUUGAAAAAUGAGUGGUUAAAAAAGAAUGAAAAGUUUUCGAUUUAUGUGUAAUAUUAUUUUAUGGAAGAUUGUGUGGUUGAAAAUAGGAGAUAGAAAAAUGAAAUGUAAUAGAAUUUAAUGUAAUGAGGCUCAAACAGGAGCUUGAUCUCUUCGACUGGAUUUUCCUCGUUUUGAAGGAGGAGAUCCCAACGAAUGGAUCCUAAAGGCACAUCAAUUCUUUAAAUAUUUCGACACUCCAGAAGCUCACAAGCUGGGAAUUGCUUCCUUUCACAUGGAGGGGAAGGCGCUGACAUGGUACUCUUGAUGGAAAGAGUCAAAUCCGGUGGUCACUUGGGAUGGAUUCUUGUUGGCUCACCGCACCAGAUUUGGACCUUCAGCAUAUGAAGAUCCAGUUUGGGCAUUUACCAAGCCGAGGCAGACAGGGAGCGUUGAGGAAUACCAAACUGCCUUCGAACUCCUGUCCAACAAAGUAAGUGGGGUAAGUGAAGAUUUUCGCAUAAGUACUUUCCUAAGUGGCUUAAAAGAUGAAUUACGAAUUAUUGUCACCAUGUUCAAACCAAAUACCCUCUCGGUUGCCUUUGGUUUAGCACGAUUACAAGAAGAGGAGGUUUUCCUGAAGCAAUUUCACCACCAAAAUCACCCAGCCCAAAACAGUUCCCACGCAGCCUCAUUCAAGCUUUCCCAUCUCAGAUUACCAGCACAAAAUCCCACACCCAGAUUACUAGCCCCUAACCCAGUACCAAGACUUCCAGCCCCACCAACCCUAAGACUUAACCCACCAUUCCACAAAAAAACCCCUUACCCAAUUAAACGCACAAGUCCCAAUCAAAUGCAAGAAAGAAGAGAGAAGGGCCUAUGCUAUUUCUGUGAUGAAAAAUACCAUCAAGGACACAAUGUAGCAGACCCAAGCUGUACCUAUUAGAGGGACUAGAAUUUGAAGAGGAAGAAGAGAAAUUGGAGGCAGAAGAGACCCUUAACCAGCCAAAUACAGCAAUUAUACUUGCGGGGCAACAAGUUGAAUUAUUGGGCAUAUCAUUACAUGCUAUUGCAGGAGUACCUUCGCCCAAGACUAUGAGGUUAGUUGGCAAAAUUGGCACUUGUUCAGUUAUUGUUCUUGUUGAUACUGGAAGCACGCAUAGCUUUAUUGAUGUAAAUGUAGCGAGGAGGGCAAACCUACCAGUGGAAGAAGGCCACCUGGCAGUCCAAGUUGCUAAUGGAAAAUAAGACCAAUGUUAUUGGGUGAAGUGCAAUCAUCUGGGAAAAGAUUCCUUGCCUUGGUUGCUGUAAGGCAUUUCUCUUAAAGAUGCAAAGUUGUAAUAUUCUAGCCGAUCUAUUUUUAUUAACCCUAGGGGGUGUGAUGUUGUACUAGGGGUAGAUUGGUUGAGAAGUUUGGGGACUAUUCAGUGGAACUUUGCUAAUUUAAGUACGAGUUUCUUUGUGGAAGGGAAACACAUAUUUCUACAGGGUCUAAAGCUGCCCGAGAAGGCUAUAGAGGAGGAACACAGCUUAAGCAAGGCUGCUAUAACAGAAGGAAGAGGACUAUGGCUGCAGAUAAUGGAGAUCAGUGACCAACCAGGAAAGGCACCAAUAGAGCCAGCCAUACAAACUGUUUUGAAUGAUUUCAACAGAGUGUUUGCUGAACCCAGUGGACUCCCACCUCCCAGGAAUCACAAUCACCGAAUCCAGCUCCAGGAUGCAGCCAAGCCAACAUGUGUUAAGACCUUAGCGAUACCCUUAUUACCAAAAGGAAGAAAUUGAAAGAUUCGUCAAGGAGAUGCUGCAGGCAGGGAUCAUACAACCAAGCCAAAGUCCUUAUUCUUCACUAGUCCUAUUGAUAAGGAAAGCAGACGGAAGUUGGCGCAUGUGCAUUGAUUACCGGGCUCUAAACAAGGAUACUAUCAAAGAUAAGUUUCCCAUCCGUAACAUAGAUGAAUUAUUGGAUGAGCUUAAUGGUACUGAAUUGUUUUCUAAACUUGAUCUACGAUCAGGCUACCACCAAAUCAGGAUGAAGCCAAAAGAUAUGCCCAAAACUGCUUUUUAUACACGAGGGGCAUUAUGAGUUCUUAGUGAUGCCUUUUGGGCUCACUAAUGCUCCGUCAACCUUCCAAGGGCUGAUGAAUCAGAUAUUCAGGCCAUAUCUAAGGAAGUUUGUAUUGGUUUUUUUUUUACGAUAUACUUGUGUACAGUAAAUCUAUGGAGGAGCAUGUAGGGCAUCUCAAGGCUGUCCUAGAAGUUUUGAGACAACAUCAGCUGUAUGCAAAGGCUUCCAAAUGUGUCUUUGGAUGCCAAGAAGUGGAGUACUUAGGUCAUGUUAUUUCCAAGGAAGGGAUAAGGCAAAUCCAUUGAAGAUUACAGUUAUAAUAGAAUGGCCUGAACCUAAAAAUCCUAAAGCUCUAAGGGGAUUUUUGGGUCUAACAGGUUAUUACAGGAAGUUUGUGAGAGGAUAUGGAAGUAUUGCAGCCCCCUUGACUGCCCUACUCAAGAAGAAUUCUUUUCAGUGGAGUGAAGAGGCCAGUCAAGCUUUUGUGAUAGCCAUGGUGACUCCUCUUUGUCCUUGGAUUACCAGACUUCUCAAAGAUGUUCGUGGUGGAGUGUGAUGCCUUUGGAAAUGGGUUGGGAGCUGUUCUCAUGCAAGAAAGGUGGCCUAUAGCUUACCUAAGUCAAGCAUUGAAAGGUAAAAAUUUAUUUUUAUCCACUUAUGAAAAAGAGUUACUAGCCCUGGUACUAGCCAUUAGAAAAUGGAGGCGCUAUCUAUUGGGGAACAGGUUCAAAGUCAGGACUGAUCAGCAAGCCCUAAAGCAUCUUUUGGAGCAAAAGAUUGGAAUACCAUUUCAGCAAAAGUGGAUUUCAAAACUGUUAGGUUUUGAUUUCAAUAUGAAAUAUCGUAGUGGAAAAGGAAACAAGGCAGCAGAUGCUCUCUCCAGGUUGCCCAAUGGACCAGAACCAGAAGUGAACCAUGCUGACUAUGAAGAAACCAAAGCCAUCAGUAUGGUGACAUUCAACUGGUGGGAUGGGCUCCGACAAGUGUACCAACAAGAUCCUCAGUUAAGGCAGUUGCCGGAUCACCAUCAACAAGGAAAUCUUGACCCUCUCAAGUACCAACUCAGAGGAGGGUUCUUAUUUUUCCGAGGGAGGUUGCACUUGGGAACCUUAGAGGAACAACAGGAGCAGAUCAUGCAGCAAUUCUAC